AUAAACUUACUUCUUGAUCAAAGAAAAAUGUCAUAUGUCUUCUUUUAUUCCUACCUUUAUUAUUAUCAGCAGAUUGUAUAUUUAAAAAAAAAAAAAGCUAAAAAGUUUAUAUAACAAAAUAUAAAUAAAUUUUUAUUUUAGCUGUAAAAUAAUCAAUUGAAGAGUAUUUCAUGUUUUUCUUUGAUACAGAGUGUAAAAUUAUGUUAUAAAGUUUUGUUUUUAGAGAAUACAUAUCUUAUUUUUUAAAAAAUAAUCAAUUAAAAAUUCUAAAAUAAACAAGUAUAUAUACUCAUAUAUAUUUCUUAACCAUUCAAACUUCUACUUUUUGAAUGGAUACAGAGUGUAAAAUUAUAUUAUAAAGUCUUAUUUUUGGAGAAUAUAUAUCUUAUUUUUGGAGAAAUAAUCAAUUAAAAAUUAUAAAAUAAACAACAAUAAGUAUAUGUACUCAUAUAUAUAUCUUAAUCAUUCAAACUUCUACUUUUUGAAUGGGUCCAAUUUUGUCACAUCUUUUUUUAAUUGACUGGCAUACUUUAACGCUGGGUUAUGAAAUGCAAAAAAUUUUAAUUUUUGAUAUUUUAAAAAAAAUAUACUCAAUUGAAGCGUUUAAUUAUGAAAAUCAAGUUUUAGAUAAGAAAAUAAAAUGAAAAAUCGUGAGAACUAAAAUUAAAUAAAUGUGAGCUUUAGGGAUAUACCACAUAACUUAAAUUAGAGAGAACUGAACAAAAAGAAAAAAGUAUUCUAUUAAUUCUAAGUGGUCUAUAUGCUCCAUUGCUUUCAAUAAUAACCUUAAAUUUCUUGAUGUAAAAUAAUAAACCUUCAUUUAGGAUUUUCUUCAAUCUGUACUCUAGAUUUUUGCUUAUUUCAACAUGCAUCAAAUUCAUCUAGGCAAAUAGAAACCUUAGUGACUAUCCAAACACAUAAUAAAAUUUUUACAAUUAAUUAAAAUGAGAUCAAAAUACCUUCUAGUAUAAAAAUCAUAUUCAAAGUAAUCAACUCAACUCACUAUUUCUCUCGGUACUAACAGAUUCUCACAUUCUAAAAACACCCUCACAAGUCAAUCGUCUCUACUACAAUUUGUAAAACAAGAAAGGAUUAAAAAAAAAUGUGUUGCACAGGUAGAAAGAACUUGCAGAAAAGUAUAAUAUUCAAAAAGGACCAAAAAAAAAAUAUGUGACCUUCAAAAUACUUGUUCCACCUUUGGUCUAGUGAGAAAAUCCAUAUAAACAGUAGUAAGCAGAAAUUCAAAGCUUAAGCAAAUAUUAACCUAAAAGGUCAUAUCAUUGCUUAAACUUGAUUUGUACAAUCUUGUAUAUAUGCAAAGAAAGGUGGAAAUGAACAUUGUGGUUGAUGGAGUAUUAUAUAUUCACUAUAAGAGACCUUCCACAUUUCUAACUGUUCAAUUCUUCCUCAUUCUUAAAAUUAUUAUAUUGACUUUUAAAUUUUCUUUAAAUACAUAAAUAUUUAAAUGGAGAAGAAAACUCANNNNNNNNNNNNNNNNNNNNNNNNNNNNNNNNNNNNNNNNNNNNNNNNNNNNNNNNNNNNNNNNNNNNNNNNNNNNNNNNNNNNNNNNNNNNNNNNNNNNNNNNNNNNNNNNNNNNNNNNNNNNNNNNNNNNNNNNNNNNNNNNNNNNNNNNNNNNNNNNNNNNNNNNNNNNNNNNNNNNNNNNNNNNNNNNNNNNNNNNNNNNNNNNNNNNNNNNNNNNNNNNNNNNNNNNNNNNNNNNNNNNNNNNNNNNNNNNNNNNNNNNNNNNNNNNNNNNNNNNNNNNNNNNNNNNNNNNNNNNNNNNNNNNNNNNNNNNNNNNNNNNNNNNNNNNNNNNNNNNNNNNNNNNNNNNNNNNNNNNNNNNNNNNNNNNNNNNNNNNNNNNNNNNNNNNNNNNNNNNNNNNNNNNNNNNNNNNNNNNNNNNNNNNNNNNNNNNNNNNNNNNNNNNNNNNNNNNNNNNNNNNNNNNNNNNNNNNNNNNNNNNNNNNNNNNNNNNNNNNNNNNNNNNNNNNNNNNNNNNNNNNNNNNNNNNNNNNNNNNNNNNNNNNNNNNNNNNNNNNNNNNNNNNNNNNNNNNNNNNNNNNNNNNNNNNNNNNNNNNNNNNNNNNNNNNNNNNNNNNNNNNNNNNNNNNNNNNNNNNNNNNNNNNNNNNNNNNNNNNNNNNNNNNNNNNNNNNNNNNNNNNNNNNNNNNNNNNNNNNNNNNNNNNNNNNNNNNNNNNNNNNNNNNNNNNNNNNNNNNNNNNNNNNNNNNNNNNNNNNNNNNNNNNNNNNNNNNNNNNNNNNNNNNNNNNNNNNNNNNNNNNNNNNNNNNNNNNNNNNNNNNNNNNNNNNNNNNNNNNNNNNNNNNNNNNNNNNNNNNNNNNNNNNNNNNNNNNNNNNNNNNNNNNNNNNNNNNNNNNNNNNNNNNNNNNNNNNNNNNNNNNNNNNNNNNNNNNNNNNNNNNNNNNNNNNNNNNNNNNNNNNNNNNNNNNNNNNNNNNNNNNNNNNNNNNNNNNNNNNAAUAUAUUGAUAUAGGCGCGUAAUUUCGCCUAUCAUCAGUGAGGUAGGCUGAAAUGCAUGGGUUCAUUUGUAUGAACAAUACUAACUGUAUAAAAUGAGUAUGACUGAAUAAGAGUACAUGCAUGAAUACAUAGACUGUAACUGAGAUCGUGUAAAUACUGAGUACUGAGUCUGAAUACUAAUAACUGUUAUCUGAUUUUACUAAUACUGUAUUACUAAUUAUCUGAAUGACUAUAUCUUAUAUUCCUAUAUUUUGUGGAACUAUACUGAGUUUCAUACUAAGCCGAGUAACUAUAUCUGAUAGUCCUAAAUCUGUAGAACUGAACUAAGUUCUAUUCCAAGAAUGAGACUGAAACUGAGACUGUAGGAGGUAAUCAUCUAACUGACAUGCCCCUCUCUAAUCUGAUUGGGGUCUAACCUAUAACCCCAGUUGAAAGGGCUUCAAUACCAUUCCACGGGUAAGGACAAGAUGUGAGUUAACCCUGUCUGAUAGAAAGCUUUUUCAUCAACCCUCAUUGGCAGGAUAACUCAAAUGAGAUAUAUCAACCUUCAUGUUAUCUGGAAGGAAGAUAUCUCAACCUACGUUGGCUACAUAGUUCUAUAAUGCAGGGAUUGCUACUAAGGGUCAAACCCUCUACUGGCAGGAAUGAUUCCAUCCCUGGGCUCGCUCGGUGCUAAAUCCUACUCCCAACUGAAUAGACACCACACUGAUUUCUAGUCUGUACUAGGCUAUACUGAACUAUUAUUGAUAAUACUAUUUAACUGAACUAAACUUGAUUCACUGAGUUCCGUUGACUGAUGAAAUACUACUGAAUUCUAUUAGCUAACUGAGUUUAAUGAGGUCUGGGCUUAGUAUUGAACUAGACCGGACUAAUACUGAGUCUACUAAGUUUUUCCUAAGUUUUAUCACUGAUUGAGAGUACUACUUAUCAUUACAUAACUGUUACCGUUCUAUGACUAACCAUGGCUCUAGGUAAACAGAUAAAUUAUCGGGUAUAAGUACCCCCAGGACUCGAUAGCAUAAAUUAAGAGACAUGGCACAAACUUGAAAUAUGUAAACUAAGUACUUGAUCAUCAUUCAUUCAUUGGGGAAUUUUAACAAACACUUGUAUGGAAUGAACUUGAAUACAUGCUAAUACGAUUUAAUUCCACUAUUCAACUCACAUGAUUAAUUCAUCAAUCACUUGAAAAGCAUAAGAUAGGCACAUAAUACUAAUCAACAUGUGAGCACACAAUUCCACAUAUCAAAUUCACAAUUUGAAGCCUUUAACAUGAUCUCACAUGAUAACACAUAUAAUUUAUUAACCCCACAUGAAAUUUAUCAUAAAACAUGGAUUUGAAACCCAAUUAAUUAUUAUAAACAUGAAUAUUAUCAAACCCAACAUGGAAUUCAUGAAUUUCAUAUACUUGAUGUUUAAAAAUAGUUUCUUGGACUCCAAUGGUGGAAGGGACCCUUUGAUGAACACUUCACAUAUCUUAGUGCCUGAAUUCUGAAGGAUUGAUGGUGAGUUCUUAAGUUCUUGAUUUGAAAUUGAAUCUCCUAGGAUUCUUGUUCUUAAGUAUUUUGAGGAAUAAUGAGUGUAAUUGCUCCCUAAAGGGUUAAAUUUUGUUUUUGGAGGGAUGAAGGUCGUGGAAAAAGACCCAAUUACCCCCAAUGACGUGGUCUUUUAAUGACUGAAAAAUUGUGUUACUGACGCAUAGUCCAACACAUCACAUCAUUGGCAUCAAUGCGAUAGACAAUGCACCACGUCGAAUCCAUGUCAGUUCACUAAAAUUUGCACUGGAGCUGGGGGAAAAAUCAUCCAUUGACAUGAUGGUCGAUGCGAAGCGUCGAGAUCGCAUUGACCCAUUAUUUUAGGCACUCAAAAAUGGUCUAAACGAUUUUUGAAAAAUCUGAAACUCAUCCAGGAACACCUAUUGACCUUCUUGAUCAUUAAUUAACUUGAAUAUCAAUAUUUAAUGGAUAUAAAGGUCUUGAAAUAAGAGUGCCAACUUUUGAAGUCGAAAAUGGCACUAAGUCUGAAUACUUAGCUAAAAUAUUCUAAGUCUGGGACCCCUUAACAAGCCUAAAGGACUGAUUUAAGCUAAGAAUUUUGUAGGUCUUACAAUAUCUCUCCCUUGGGAAAAUUUGUCCUCGAAUGAGACUGCUGAGACUGAGAAUACAAAGCUAUUGGACUUAGACAAUGGGCUUGCACAAUUGAAGCAUGGUCUCAUGACUGAUAUCACUAAUACACUAAAUUAUCAUACUAAACAUGCAUAUCUGAUGCAUGAGUACAUAGCUGAACAUGAUUCAUGAAUGCAUGACUAGGUUUAUUGAUAAGCUGAGUUUCUCAUACUAGACAUGCAUAUCUGAUGCAUGAAUACAUGAAUUAAAUGACUCUUAAACAUAUGACUUUACAUGAAAUGGUAAUUGAUACCAAGUUUGUAACUAAAACAUCUAAACAUGAAACUGAAUAAGUUUAAGAAAAACUAUUACCUUGAGCUGAGUCCGAAUUAGGGGAGAAGAGGUGAGGAUAUUUGGUCUGCAUAUCUAAUUUGGCUUCCCAAGUAGCUCCCUCAGCGGACUGAUUCUGCCUAAGGUCUUUGACUAGAGGGACUUCUUUGUUCCUCAGUCUGCGAAUUUGAUAGUCAAGGAUUUCGACUGGAAUCUCUUCAUAAGAGAGACUGUUUUGAAAAUCUAUGCCCUUUAUAGGGAUUAUGACUGCUGGGUUACCUAUGCAUUUCUUUAUCUUGGAGAUGUGGAACACUGGAUGCACUGAAGAUAGAUCUGAAGGCAACUCAAGCUUGUAAGCUACCUUUUUGAAAUGGUUGUGAAUUCGGUAAGGACCGAUAUAUCGAGGAUUGAGCUUCCCCUUCUUGCCAAACUGUUUCACUCCUUUCAUAGGAGAUAUUUUCAGAUACACAAAAUCUCCAAUCUCAAACUCGAGAUCCCUUUUGCGCAUGUGUGCAUACUAUUUUUGUCGACUUUGAGCUGUCUUAAGCCUUUUCCUGCUCGACUAAACUUUCUCUAAGGUAUCAAAUACUAAGUCAGGUACUAUGACUGUAGCCUCUGCCACUUCAAACCAACCAAUGGGAGGUCUACAUCUUCUCCCAUAAAAGGCCUCAAAUAGAGCCAUCUGAAUUCUAGAGUGAUAGUUGUUGUAUGCAAACUCAAUCAAAGGAAAGUGGUCAUCCCAACUACCCUUAAAUUCUAUCGCACACGCUUGCAGCAUAUCUUCUAAAGUCUGAAUGGUCCUUUCUGCUUGACCAUCCAUCCGAGGAAGAAAGGCUGUACUGAGGUGAACUCGGGUAUCAAGACCCUUUUGGAAUACCUUCCAGAACUAAGAGGUAAACUGGGUACCUCAGUCUGAGAUAAUAGACAAUGGAAUACCAUACAAUCUAACAAACUCCCUGAUAUAGAGUUUGGCAUAAUCCUUGGCUAAAUAUGAGGUAUGUACUAAAAGAAAAUGAGUAGAUUUGGUCAUCCUAUCUACGAUGACCCAAACUGGAUCAUGUUGAUGAUGAGUACGAGGCAAACCCAUUGCAAAGUCCAUGUUAACAUAUUCCCAUUUCUAGGUGGGAAUAUUGAACUCCUGUAUGGACCCACUAGGCUUCUAAUGCUCAAUCUUAACCUACUGACAUGUUGAGCACUUAGCCACAAACUCUGCAAUAUCUUUUUUCAUCCCACUCCACCAAUAGAUCAUUCGCAGAUCGCGAUACAUCUUUGUGGCCCCUAGAUGAAUCGAGUAGCACGAACCAUACAUUUCUACCAGAAUUCACUACCUCAAGUCAUCUACGCCUAGAAACAUAGCCGACCCUAGCAACGCAGCACACUAUCUCCCCUUUAGGAGAAAACCUCUACUCUCUGUUCUCUAACUGAUUUAUUCAACUUGACUAGACUGGGAUCCCUAUCCCAUUUUUCCUUUACUUCGGAAACUAGGGAUUAUUAUGAGCUACUCUGCACCCAUACAAUACUUUUUGUAGAAUUGACUAAGUGAACACCUAGUUGGGCUAGUUGAUGAACUUACUGAGUUAACUUCUUCUUACUGUCCUCAACAUGGGAAACACUACCCAUAGACAUUCUACCCAUAGACUUACAAUACACUCAUGUCAUUGUCUUUUAACAACUCCAACCACUUUUUUCUGACGAAGGUUGAGGUCUUUCUGAGAGAACACCUACUGCAGGCUCUUGUGAUCCAUGAACACAUCAACGUGCACUCCAUAUAAGUAGUGUAUCCAAAUCUUUAAGAAAAAAACUACUGCUACUAACUCAAGGUCAUGAGUAGGAUAAUUCUUCUCAUGGGACUUAAAAUGUCUAGAGGUGUAGUCUAUGACCUUACCUCUCUGCAUCAAACUGCACCCCAAAUCAACUUUUAAGGCAUCACAAUAUACAACAAAGCCGUCUGAACCAUUUGGUAGGGUCAAAACUGAAGCUGUAGUGAGUCGAGUCUUUAACUCCUGAAAACUCUUUGGCACCCUGAAGUUGGUCAAACAAGUCAUCGAUCCUGGGAAGUGGAUACUUGUUCUUGAUCAUGACUUUAUUUAGCUAACGGUAGUCUAUGCACAUUCUAAGAGAACCAUCUUUCUUACGUAUGAAUAACACUGGUGCGCCCCACGGGGAUACGCUAUGCCUGAUGAAUCCCUUAUCUAGGAGAUCUUUUAACUGCACUUUCAAUUUCUGAGUUUUCCUAGAGCCAUUCUGUAUAGUAGGAUAGAUAUGGGCUGAGUAUCUGGGAGAAGAUCGAUUCCAAAAUUAAUUUCCCUUUUAGAAGGAACUUCGGGAAGAUCUUCGGGAAAUACAUCUGGGAAUUCUUAAGCUAUUGACACUGAUUCAAAAGUAAGGGUUUCUGAACUAGAUUCCUGGACUCGAAAGAGAUGGUAGAAACGUCCCUUAAAUAUCAUUUUUCUAUCCCAAAGGUAAGAAAUAAGUUGACCCCUAUGUGCUGAAGUACUACCCCUCCACUCUAGGAUGGGUUUAUUCAAGAACUGAAAUUGGACAAUUCUAUUUCUGUAGUCGACUAAGGUAUAGCAGGAAUUAAGCCAAUCCAUGUCGAGAAUAACAUCAAAAUCAGUCAUCUCUACUUUGACUAAGUCUGCUAAAGUGACUUUUAGAGAUAUCAUAACCGGACAAUUCCUGUACACCCGGCUGGCUAUGAUGGAUUUACCCAUUGGGGUAGAGAGCGAGAAAGAGUUUGCUAAAAUUUUAGUACUGACUCCAAAAUCAACUGCUAUAUAUGGAGUAACAAAGGACAAUAAAUCUCCUGUAUCUAGCAAAGCAUAAACAUGAAAAUAAUAAACUUGUAACGUACCAGUGACCACAUCAGAAGAACUUUGCUGAUCCUGUUGAGAGUAGAGAGAAUAGAUUCUGUUUGGGUGUUACUCACUGGUGGCACUGAAAGAGGUACCCUGCUGAUUUGGGCAACCAGACUGAGAUGGGGGAUGGGUAUACUAACUCAGCGAACCCUCCUGAGGACACUGUUUAAUUCUGUGGCCUAGCUUUCAACAUUUGAAACACAUAUCGCUACCAUACUUCUAACAAAGGAGAUAGGUUUAGGCACUGUUAACACUACCAUGGGGCUUAGGGCAUGAUGACCUAUCUCUAUUGCCAUCUCUAAAUUUUGACACUGGAGAACUGGCCGAGGAUAGAGCUAAAACUGAGGAUUUUGAGCAAAAAUCAGAAUCAUUCCCACCCUCUGACUUAGGUUGAGUAAAAUUGAAACUACCUAUUCUCGCUCUCAUGUUCUCCCUUUUUUUGUUUUUUUUAUUCUUGGCCUCUUAUAUCUAUUGGUCAUGGACCAUGAGCCUGGCUAUGUCCACCUCUUUUAUCAAAAUUGUAGUCCUACACUCUUUGACCAUGCUUCUAGACACCCCUAACAUAAACUUACUCAUAUUAGAUUUGUUAUCUACUUCAACAUGCAGGGCAUAUCUGGCUAACUGAUUAAACUUGAGAGAAUACACCUGUACUGUCAUAUUGCCCUGCUUCAAAUUAAUGAACUCCAAAACCUUCGCUUCCCUCAACUCUAGCGGGAAGAACUUAUCAAGAAAAACAACUACAAACUUCUCUCAUUCUAUGGGCCUUACAUUUGCAACCCUCUCUGCUUUCCAUUGUUUGAACCCCGAGUGAGCCACAUCCUAUAACUAAUAUCUGCCAACUCAGUGCUCUCAAAAACAAUCACCCCCAUAAUAUUGGUAACCUUCUGCACCUGAUCAAGAAAUUCCUAAAGGUCCUCAUCUGACUUAUACCCAAUAAAUAUGGAGGGUUCAUUCGGGUAAAGUCCCAAAUCCUGGCAGCUACAGUAUUGACCACUAGGUUGGCCAAAACUAUAUUUGGACAUUUAUUUUGGGCUUCCACAGAAUGAGUUAGGGUGGUGAAGGAUGCUCUGAACUCCACAUGGAAGAAAUGCUUACCCAAAGGAUCUGGGUGAAUGGGUUGAGGGGCUGACUGGUCUCCUAUUCCUCUUUUCUGAGUCCUCUUUAGAGGCAUAUUCUGUAAAAAAAGAGAAACUAGGAUUAGAAAGAGAGUGUAACUAGAGUUCAUGCUCACUCGUACAAUAUAAAUACUGAAAGAAGAGAAAUUAUUCCUAAAUCAUCUUGUAUCCUCCUGUCUAUAUGUAUGGCGCGCUACACUCCCAUGUAUAAGACUCUACUAGAUGUGGCUUUUAAACUUUCUAGGACUCUGUUUAACCUUAGGCUCUGAUACUAAGUUUGUAACACCCCGAUUCUGUACCCCAAACGCUACACGGUGCUUAUAAUCCCAAAGGACCACAAGCCAACCCAUGACCGGUACCUACUGUAAUAACUUUGCAAUAAAUACUUUAAUGAUUGCGAAAAUAGGCGGAAACAUAUGCCAUAAGGUUCAAAUCUAUAAAUAAAUUUGAAUUUGAUAUCAAAAUACAAAAACUGAAUAUAAGUACUAUAAAACUGAAUAACUAUCUGGAAAUACUCUAGUCUGGAAAGCCUUUAAAUUGUCUAAACAGUGGAUUUUAUGGGACAAGUCCCUAACUAACUCUGACUACUGAAAAUAAUAAUAAUAAUAAAAAGUAUGUCCUCGAACUAUGAGGACUCACCACUACUUUGAAAGCUGAAAAUUUAAACUGCUAAGGGUGCUCUGAAGCCCGUGCAUCUGAACCUUUGAUAUAAGACAUCUUAGACCAAAAAGAAUGCAUCAGUACUUUGAAUAUAAUGGUAUGCUUAGUGAGGUAGGCUGAAAUACAUGGGUUCAUAUGCAUGAACAAUACUAACUGAAUACAUGAGUAUGACUGAAUAAGAGUACAUACAUGAAUACAUAGACUAUAACUGAGAUCAUGAAAAUACUAAGUAUUGAAUCUAAAUACUAAUAACUAAUAUUUGAGUUUAUUGAUACUAUAUUACUGAUUAUUUAAAUGACUGUAUCUGAUAGUCCCAAAUUUUGUGAAACUAUACUAAGUUUCAUACUGAACUGAGUAACUAUAUCUGAUAGUCCUGAAUCUGUAGAACUGAACUGAGUUCUAUUCCAAGACUAAGACUGAAACUGAGAUUAUGGGAAGUAAUCAUCUAUCUGACAUACACCUCUCUAAUAUUAUUGGGGUCCAACCUGUAACCCCACUUAGAAGGGUAUUAAUACCGUACUAUGGGUAAGGAAAAGAUGUGAGUUAACCCUUUCUGACAGGAAGCUCUUUCGUCAACCCUCACUGGCAGGAUAACUCAAAUGAGAUAUAUCAACCCUCAUGAUAUCUGGCAGGAAAAUGUCUCAACCUUCACUGGCUAUGUAUUUUUGUAACUCAGGGAUUGCUACUAAGGGUCAAACCCUUUAUUAGCAGGAGUGGCCCCAUCCUUGGGCUCGCUCAGUGCUGAAUCCUACUCCUAGCUGAAUAGACAUUGAACUAGUUUCUAGUCUGUACUAGGCCAGAAUGAACUAUUACAAAUAAUACUAUUUAACUAAACUGAACUGGAUUUACUGAGUUCCGUUGACUGAUGGAAUACUACUAAAUUCUGUUAGCUGAUAGAGUUUACUGAGGUCUGGGAUGAGUACUGAAGUAGGCUGGACUAAUACUGAGUCUACUGAGUUUUUCCUGAGUUCUAUGACUGAUUAAGAGUACUACUGAUCAUGAUGUGAUAGGUACCAUUCUAUGACUCACCAUGGCUCUAGGUAAAUAGAUAAAUUGAUGAGUACAAGUACCACCAGGACUCGAUAGCAUAAAUUAAGAGACAUGGCAUAAACUUGAAACAUGUAAACUAAGUACUUGAUCAUCACUCAUUCAUUGGGGCAUUUUAACAAACACUUGUAUGGCAUGAACUUGAUUACAUGCUAACAUGAUGUAAUUCCACUAUUCAACUCACAUGCUUAAUUUAUCAAUCACUUGAAAAUGAUAAGAUAGGCACAUAAUACUAAUCAACAUGUGAGCACACAAUUCCAAAUAUCAAAUUCACAAUUUGAAGGCUUUAUCAUGAUCUCACAUGAUAACACAUAUAAUUUAAUUAACCCCACAUGAAAUUUAUCAUGAAACAUGGAUUUGAAACCCAAUUAAUCAUUAUAAACAUGAACAUUAUCAACCCCAACAUGGAAUUCAUAAAUUUCAUAUACUUGAUGUAUAAUAAUAGUUUCUUGGACUCCAAGGGUGGAAGGGAUCCUUGGAUGAAUACUUCACAUACCUUAGUGCCAGAAUUCCGAGGGAUUGAUGGUGAGUUCUUGAGUUCUUGAUUUGAAAUUGAAUCUCCUAGGGUUUUUGAGUAUUUUGAGGAACAACGAGUAUAAUAACUCUCCAAAGGAUUUAAUUUCAUGUUUUGGGGGCUAAAAGUAAUCGAAAAAAGACCUAAUUACCCCCAAGGAUGUGGUCUUUUACUGAUUAAAAAACUGUGUUACCAAUGUGUAACUCGACGCGUUGCGUCGUUGGCAUCAAUAAAAUAGCCAACACACCACGUUGAGUCCAUGUCGGUUCACUAGAAUUUGCAUUAGAGCUAGGGGAAAAUCAUCCAUCGAUGUGAUGGUCGACACGAUGCAUUGAGAUCGCAUCAAUCUUCUAUUUUGGGCACUCAAACAUAGUUUAAACGAGGUCUAAAUAGUCUGAAACUCAUCCAAGAAAACCUAUUGUCCUUCCUGAUCAUGAAUUAAUUUAAAUAUCAAUAUUUAAUGGAUGUAAAGGUCUUGAAAUAAGAUUUCCAACUUUCGAAGCCUAAAAUGGAACUAAGUCUGAAUACUUAGCUAAAAUAUUCGAUUUCCAACUUUCGAAGCCUAAAAUGGAACUAAGUCUGAAUACUUAGCUAAAAUAUUCGAUUUCCAACUUUCGAAGCCUAAAAUGGAACUAAGUCUGAAUACUUAGCUAAAAUAUUCUAAGUCUGGGACCCCUUGACAAGCCUAAAGGACUAAUUUAAGCUAAGAAUUUUUUUGGGUCUUUCAUUACAUGAUGCAAGUUAGUUUUGGUUGUUAAAGUAUGUUGAUUAUGUUGAAUGACUGCUUUUGGGACAACUAUGUUCAUAUUUAUGACUCUUGUGCGAUGUAGGCUUAAUUAUGAAUUCGUGAUAUUGUUUGGUCUAUAAUCUAUAGUGAUCCUACUUGAUUUGAGCAUGUGCUAUGUGUGAGUGAGGACUUUUGUUGUAUUCCUUGUUACAUAUUGAUGUCUAGAACUUGCCUGGUGUGUGUGCAAAAAAAAUAAAGAAUGUUAGGCUUAGUAGAUGAUAUAGUUAUUUCUUUGAUAGCCAUGUUUCAUACCCCUUUCUAUAUAACCUUGUGCAUGGUCUUAGUUAGAUCCAUUGAGCCUUCAGCCUAUUCUUUGGUAGCCUCAUAUAAAGCAUGUUCCUCUUCUUUGUUUAAUUGUGAUUUGAUCUAAUGCUCCUAAAAGAUUUAGUUGAAAAAUUAAUAUGGUUAAGGAGUGUAAAAUGUAAGGAGGAAAGAGGUAAAAAGUNNNNNNNNNNNNNNNNNNNNNNNNNNNNNNNNNNNNNNNNNNNNNNNNNNNNNNNNNNNNNNNNNNNNNNNNNNNNNNNNNNNNNNNCUAUGGGUAAGGAAAAGAUGUGAGUUAACCCUUUCUGACAGGAAGCUCUUUCGUCAACCCUCACUGGCAGGAUAACUCAAAUGAGAUAUAUCAACCCUCAUGAUAUCUGGCAGGAAAAUGUCUCAACCUUCACUGGCUAUGUAUUUUUGUAACUCAGGGAUUGCUACUAAGGGUCAAACCCUUUAUUAGCAGGAGUGGCCCCAUCCUUGGGCUCGCUCAGUGCUGAAUCCUACUCCUAACUGAAUAGACACUGAACUGGUUUCUAGUCUGUACUAGGCCAGAAUGAACUAUUACAAAUAAUACUAUUUAACUAAACUGAACUGGAUUUAUUGAGUUCCGUUGACUGAUGGAAUACUACUAAAUUCUGUUAGUUGAUAGAGUUUACUGAGGUCUGGGAUGAGUACUGAAGUAGGCUGGACUAAUACUGAGUCUACUGAGUUUUUCCUGAGUUCUAUGACUGAUUAAGAGUACUACUGAUCAUGAUGUGAUAGGUACCAUUCUAUGACUCACCAUGGCUCUAGGUAAAUAGAUAAAUUGAUGAGUACAAGUACCACCAGGACUCGAUAGCAUAAAUUAAGAGACAUGGCAUAAACUUGAAACAUGUAAACUAAGUACUUGAUCAUCACUCAUUCAUUGGGGCAUUUUAACAAACACUUGUAUGGCAUGAACUUGAUUACAUGCUAACAUGAUGUAAUUCCACUAUUCAACUCACAUGCUUAAUUUAUCAAUCACUUGAAAAUGAUAAGAUAGGCACAUAAUACUAAUCAACAUGUGAGCACACAAUUCCAAAUAUCAAAUUCACAAUUUGAAGGCUUUAUCAUGAUCUCACAUGAUAACACAUAUAAUUUAAUUAACCCCACAUGAAAUUUAUCAUGAAACAUGGAUUUGAAACCCAAUUAAUCAUUAUAAACAUGAACAUUAUCAACCCCAACAUGGAAUUCAUAAAUUUCAUAUACUUGAUGUAUAAUAAUAGUUUCUUGGACUCCAAGGGUGGAAGGGAUCCUUGGAUGAAUACUUCAAAUACCUUAGUGCUAGAGGGAUUGAUAGUGAGUUCUUGAGUUCUUGAUUUGAAAUUGAAUCUCCUAGGGCUCUUGAGUAUUUUGAGGAAUAACGAGUAUAAUAACUCUCCAAAGGAUUUAAUUUUAUAUUUUGGGGGCUGAAAGUCAUCAAAAAAAGACCUAAUUACCCCCAAGGAUGUGGUCUUUUACUGAUUGAAUAAUUGUGUUACCAAUGCAUAGCUCGACGCGUUACGUCGUUGGCAUCAAUGAAAUAGCCAACACACCACGUUGAGUCUAUGUCGGUUCACUAGAAUUUGCAUUAGAGCUAAGGGAAAAUCAUCCAUCGAUGCGAUGGUCGACACGACGCAUUGAGAUCGCAUCAAUCUACUAUUUUGGGCACUCAAACAUAGUUUAAACGAGGUUUAAAUAAUCUGAAACUCAUCUAUGAAAACCUAUUGACCUUCCUGACCAUGAAUUAAUUUAAAUAUCAAUAUUUAAUGGAUGUAAAGGUCUUGAAAUAAGAUUUCCAACUUUCGAAGCCUAAAAUGGAACUAAGUCUGAAUACUUAGCUAAAAUAUACUAAGUCUGGGACCCCUUGACAAGCCUAAAGGACUAAUUUAAGCUAAGAAUUUUUUUGGGUCUUUCAUUACAUGAUGCAAGUUAGUUUCGGUUGUUAAAGUAUGUUGAUUAUGUUGAAUGACUACUUUUGGGACAACUAUGUUCAUAUUUAUGACUCUUGUGCGAUGUAGGCUUAAUUAUGAAUUCAUGAUAUUGUUUGGUCUAUAAUCUAUAGUGAUCCUACUUGAUUUGAGCAUGUGCUAUGUGUGAGUGAGGACUUUUGUUGUAUUCCUUGUUACAUAUUGAUGUCUAGAACUUGCCUGGUGUGUGUGCAAAAAAAAAAUAAAGAAUGUUCGGCUUAGUAGAUGAUAUAGUUAUUUCUUUGAUAGCCAUGUUUCAUACCCCUUUCUAUAUACCCUUGUGCAUGGUCUUAGUAAGAUCCAUUGAGCCGUCAGCCUAUUCUUUGGUAGCCUCAUAUAAAAUAUGUUCCUCUUCUUUGUUUAAUUGUGAUUUGAUCUAAUGCUCCUAAAAGAUUUAGUUGAAAAAUUAAUAUGGUUAAGGAGUGUAAAAUGUAAGGAGGAAAGAGGUAAAAAGUGAAGCCCCAAAAUAGUAGCUAUUAGUGUUGAAAAAGUUGAUGUGUUAUAGUUGGCAGUGGUGCAAUGAAAAGAAACAAAAUAGUGAAAAAAAGAAUAAUGUGUUGAUAGAAAAUACUCCCUAUUUAAUAUAUGUGAACUAUCUUAAAGAGAUGGGGAAAAACAAAAUAGAUGUUUGGAGGUAGAGGUGAUGAAAGUUUGCAUGUUAAAAAAGAGUUCAAUGUCUAAUAUGUGUAUUAAAGCGCAUAGGGAAGUAGUCACUAUUACUGGCCAGAAUAGUUUCUACCCAUCCCUUAGCUGACAUUACAACCCUUAAAGUCCUAUUUGAUUUUGAGCCUUAACAUUCUAAUAUUAAUGGAGUACUACACUAAGGGCAAGCCUAUGGUUCAUCUUGUGUGACUUGAGAAUUUUUUGUAAGAGUGAUCGUAAUUUGAUUCUUAUGCUCAUUGUGAUAAAUUACAUCUCUGUGAGUGAAUAUGGGUAACUCUCUUGUGGUGAGGACGCAUGUUUGAUGAUAGUUGGGUGACAUAUAUGGUCUCUUUGACUAAUUAAUAUGCAUGAGUUUGCCAACUUGGUGGAGUCAAAUUUUGAGGAUAGGAUGUUUUAAAGUAGUGCUCAUGAGCUUUCAAAAGUAUAUAACCUGCAUGGUGUUAAGUACUAUCUGUGUAGUCAUUGUAGUGCUAGCUUAAAUCUUGCUUGUAAUAAUUUAAUAUGGAGUCUUCCUUAGAUAUGGUGAUUAAUGUAAAGAGUUGUUUGACGACGAAUAAUACUUUAAGUGCGGAGUGAUGAUCUUAGGUGGAUUUACGCACCUAAGUGUUGUUAUCUACUCUUAUUUGGCUUAGUUUUUAGUACUUCUUGUAUGUGAAAUGAGUUAAUAUUCAUAUAUUUAAUCAUCUAAAUGUUGAUACAAAUGUUUAUAAUGCUUAAUGUGUUUUCAAAACAAGUACGGAAUCAAAACAAUCACUUAGAGUUUAGACGAGGAAACUAGUAUUCUUAACUUGAGCUAUAUGUUGUUCUCAUUUCUCUUGUUUAAUUUUAUUGUGUUGUAAGCUCUAAUUACCGGUGUUUGAUGAUUUAGGAAUACUUGUGAGAUGUUAAACUCAAUGAUGGGAUGAUAAACAAGCUGAUUUUGAAAAGGAAAAAGGCCCAUGAAGUGAGGAACUCAAAGCAAAAUAGAAGAAGAAAACGGUGACCAAGUCUGGAAAAUUGGAGCACAAGGGCACGACAUGUCCUCUAGCCUCUGAUAUGAGGUAGUGCCACGCCCUUAUUGCAUCAAUUCCUUAGCGUAGCACUCCCACGUGUUCCAAACGGGGACUUGUCUCCCAUUAUAAAUAGGACACUCCUAACUUGUUGUACACACCUUGGACGACCUUUCGAUUUGUAAUACACUUGAGGAGGCUUCUCAUAGGGUCUAAAUCCAUGAAUAGCUAAACACCCCCAUCUUAGGUUGAGGCCAAGAACAUGAAUACUUAAGCUUAUAUUUGAGUUUGGUUGUGUUUAUUAUCAUUAUUGAUUGUUCAUAUAUCCUUGUAUCUACUAUUCUACGGAUUCACAACCCUUAGAAUAAAAAGAUGUUUCUAUUGUGAUCUCGGAAGGAGGAACAAUAGAUUGGAACAUGGGAUGUAUGGAGUAGGAUCUUAAAUACUCAAGGGAUGGAGUUAAGAUUCGCAAUUAGAAUAGGAAUAUACCUAUUUAUCCCUAUUUGGUUCAUAUACAGGAUGAAAUAUAAAUGCGUUUAACUUAGUUCUCGCAUCCCUGAUCAACUAUGUAGUUGUAGGGCUAAAUGCUAGACGAUUAGAGGCUCGAAAGACCAUAGUCAUGUUUUCAAUUCCGUGAAUCAACAACUAAGAUAAUUAACUAAAUCAACGAGAUUAUAUCACUAAGUAGGAUUGUUCGUAGUGCCUUAACCCUGUGUUUCUCCCUAUUAUUGCCUCCAACACUUUAUUAUUAUCGUAUUUCUUAUGUUUACUUUUAAUUUCCAACUCUCAAACAUUUUAGGUUACUUUUGUACUUGUUAAAUCUUCGUAGUGAUGCUAGAAUUAGUUAAUUGCCGAGCACAAGUCCCUGUGGGAUCUAUACUUGGCUUUUAAAGGCCACUUUACUAUUUGGUUGACCACGUACACUUGCUUGUGUGCUAGGAUGCAACAAAUGAUGAGUUGACUGUGAUAAGUUUUUGUUCAACUGAGAUUGUAUAUUACAACUACUCCCCCAUCUCAUAUUAGUUGGUGAUUUUACUUAAAAUAUUUAUCCCAUAUUUGUUGGUUACCUUACUAAAUCAAGAAAGCAUUAACUAAAUUUUUCUCAUAUUAUCCUUGCAACUAAUUCUUUUUGAAAGUGUUCACACUUAUUUGUAAAGUUUGCAAAAGUGUUUUAAGAGGUAAAUUAGUAAACUUGCAUUCUUUUUAAUGAUUAAUUAAUUACCAUAUAAAAUUAAAUAUGUCCAAUUAAUAUGGGACGAAGGGAGUUGUAAAGUAUAAUAAAUGCAUUUGGAUUGGGCAUGAUUGGCAAAAUGUUCAACUGUUUAAGUCAUGGACAACCCCUUAAAGUUGUUUGGAAAAUUCGCUUAGAUACCUUAAUAGACCUAUUUUUCUAUUAGACACUCUAAUAUUAAGAAAUGUGUACCUAUUAAACACAAAAUGACCAUGAGUCCAAAAAAUAUAAUGCGUCAGACUCACACUAGUAUAAUAGCAAAACACUGAAUAAAAAUAUGACAUGUGGUGGACUCAAAUAAGUAUUAAAAAUAUAUUUCAAUCUUUUAAAAUAAAGAAAUAUAAUUAAAAAAAUCCUUAAUUUCUCGGCCCCCUUCCCCCAGUCCUUUUUCCACCAUGGAAAUCACUGCAACUGUGUCCACCAUUUAUUUCAUCCAUCCUUUUCUUUUUCUUCCCAGAUCCUCCCCUCUUGUCUUUCUUCUUCCUCUCUUUAAAAUACAACUAAUUUACGUGCCAAUGUGAUGCUCAGAUAAUAUUAAAAAUAAUAUGUUUAAUAAUUUUACAUAGGAAUAUCUUAGUUACACUUAAGUUUAUAUAAGGAAAAAAUCAAGUAAUUGUAAUUUUCUUUAUGUUUCAUAUUUUUCUUUAUUAUAUUCUUCAUCAUUUAAAAAUAUUACAUUGUUAAUAUUGAUUUUUUUAAUUACAAUUUUUAUUCUAUUCUUCACUUCUUUUCAAUUUAAAAUUUAUGAAUAGUGGUAUGUGCAUUAUCUAAUUAUUUCAUUAUUUCUCAAAUUAGUUAAAAUAGACCCCCCAUCCUCCCCCCUCCCCCCAAUUGUGAAAAGACUUUUAUGUUUCACAUUUUUUCUUAUUAUAUUAUUCAUAAUUACUUUACUUUUCUCUAAUUUAACUUUAUAUUAAUUUUUUUAUUUUUUGUUACACAAAAACAGUUGGGUUUUCUUCUCUCUUAUAUUAAUAUAGAAAUUUGGUUAGAAGAAAAUUCCAAAAUAAAUUUAUUUGUUAGAAAUGAUUAUGAUUCCAAUUCAAGUUAAACACUCCCACCUCUCUAUAAAUAUUAUUUUAUUUCAUAUUCAACUUCAAAAUCUUAUAUUUUAAAUUAAAUUAAAAAAAUUAUUAACUUGUCCUAGGAAAUUAAAAAAAAUACAAUUGCAUGUAAAAAUGUGGAAUAUAAAUUUUAAAGGAAAUAAAAUUAUGAAUUCAACAACAACAACAACAAAAAACCCAGCUUAUUCCUACAAAAUAGGGUCUGAGAUGGGUAAAAUAUAAGCAGUCCAUACUGCACCUCCGAAGAAGUUAAGAGGUUGUUUUCGAUAGACCCCCGACUCACGAUAAAGAACAGUAAACCAGGUAAUAAUAAAACAUGAAGCAGGAUAAAUGACAUAACGGGAAUAAGGAAUAGGAAAUAAUAAAAAUAGAAAUUAGAGAAAUACAAAAUAAGAGAAAUAAGAGCAAUUCGAAAUAAGAAAUAAGAAAUAGGACACCCGCCUAGUAGUAAUAUACAUUCAUAGACCAAAGACACCCACCACACCCAAACUCUCCUGAGUAGAGGCUCAUACCUAUGGACACAAUCCUAGGAUUACUAACGCGGCUACACAAGCGCUCUCCUAACUACUUGCUACAACCCACACACUCACAAUAUCCUUCUACCCUUAUCCGCGACUUCCACACCUUUCUAUCUAGGGUCAUGUCCUAAGUAAGUUGUAGCUGCUCCAUGUCAUGUCUAGUCACCUCCUUCUAGUAUUUUUUUAGCCUACCUCUACUCUUCCUGAAGCCAUCCAAAGCUAGUGUCUCACACCUACGAACUGGGGCCUGCUUGCCCCUCCUCACUAUAUGAAAAAAGAAUUUAGAUGUGUAACUAUGUAUAUCAUAUUUAAUAAUCAUAUAAGCUACAUCGUUGAAAAUUUAAUAUUUUAUUUUGUGAUUAAAUAUUUAUUUUUUUGCAAUUAAAAAAAUUAAGCUAUAAAAAUUACAACAUGAGAAAUUGUCAAUAUAAAAAAUUGAGUUGUCGCUUGAGUUUUAGUCAUCACCACUUUUCUUUUUUUACUUUAUUUUUAAAAAUAUCAUCGUAAUAAAAUUUUUGAACUAAAGGAUAUUAAAUAUUUGCAUUUGAAAAUAUUAAGAUUUUGAAAGCAUUUAAGAAAACAAUUAUUAUCUUAAAGCAUGAAAAUCUAACUAUUAGGACCCCAUAGUUUAAAAGUACUGAGUAAAUUCUAACUAUUUCAUAUAAUAAUAACGAUAAUCUAUAAAAAUAAAUAAUAGUAGAAGUCAUAAUAUUAGUACAUACGUUUAAUAAUUCUAAAGAAAAAUUAAGACAAACUUAAUAAUAUUGUAAUAAAAUAUUUGAAUUAAUGCAUGAAAAUAUUUGAAUUUGAAAAUAUUAAGCUUUUAGGAGAAAAAAUAAGGAUAAGGAAGAAUAACAAACAAAUAUUUUUUCUACAAAUUAAUAUGAUGUUUGAAUUUAAAUUUAAAAAACAAUCCAUUAGGUUAAAACUAGGAACCAAAGGUUGAAGAGUCCCCCCCCCAAAGAAAAAAAAUAACCUAUUACUAUUCCAUAAACUCUUAACAACAACAACAACAACAACAGUAACAGUAGUAGUACAUACUUAAUAUUAGUAGCAGGAGGUGGUAGUAGUAAUAAUAGUAACAAUAAUAACAAUAAUUUUAUUUCAAAUUCAACUUCAAAAUAUUAUUUUUUUAAUCUAAAUUCAAAAAAUUAUUAACUUUUCCUAAGAAAUUAAAAAAUAAUGCAUGAAAAAUUAUGAAUUCAUUUUAUGAAAAAAGAAUUUAGAUAUAUAACCGUGUACAUCAUAUCUAAUUAUAGUAUAAGCUACAUCAUUGAUUUUUUUUUUUUUAGUUUGGGAUUAAAUAUUUACCUUUUUCAAUUAAAAAUAUUAAGCUACAAAAAUUACAAACAUGAGAAACUAUCAAUAUAAAAAUUUGAGUUGUUGCAUGUGCUUUAGUCAUCACCACUUUUUUUUACUUUAUUUUUUAAAAAUAUUUACUAUUGUAUAUAAUGUUAUCCAUAUGUUUACCUUCUAUUUUAUUAAAUUUUAAAAAAUUCUCAUCUCAAAUAUAAAUAAAAAUAUAUAAGCUAUCAUACGUUAGGUUUUAUCUAGUAUUUAAAAUUAAUUAAAUCUAAUUUGCAUAAUUAGAUUAAAAAAAUCGUUGAAGAUAAAUUUUAUUUAAAAAUAAGUAGAGAAUAAUGAAGGUUUUAUCUACUACUACUACUGUUGCUGUUGUUGCUUCUUCUUCUUCUUCUACUACUACUACUACCACCACCACUACCACUGCUACCACUGCACUGCUACCACUGUUGCUGUCGCCGCCGCCACCAUCGCCGCUGUUGCACCUCUGUUGUUGUUGUUGUUGUUGCUGCUACUACUACUACUAUUAUUAUUAUUAUUAUUAUUAUUGUUACAACAACUACUACUACUUCUGUAAUCUUCAGUGACCUCAGUAACAAACAGUUUUGAGUUCGUCACCAUUCCUUUUUGACUUUCAACCGUCAAUUGACGUGAUAGUAUUCUCCGACAACAAUAAUUUCGAGUUUUUCAUCGUUCUUUUUUUACUUUCACAGGUAAAAAAAUUAGGCAUUUUUAGUUAUGAAAAAAAGAGGAAUUUGAGUUAAUUUCUCUUCUAGUAUGGGUUAACAAUUUUAGUAUUUCUUGCUUAAAUUUGAAAUGAGGACUCAAGAAAAUUCGAAUUUGUGGUAUUUCUUCUCUUCUCUUUCUUGAGUGAAAUAUGAUUUUUUGUUGUUACUGUAGUUCUUGUUGUCAACAUUAUUGUAAAAAUAAUGAGAGUUGAAUUUUAUUUUUUUCGGAGAUAUCUAUUGUGACCAAAUCUAACAAACACCUCUUGAUUUUGUUUGUAGUAUUUUUUGAAUUUGUUUUGCUAUUUGUAUUUGUACAAUGUUGGUGUUAUUGGUAAAUAUUGAUGUUCUUGGUGUGUGGCGUUGGUGGUGUUGAUUUGAUUUAUUUGUGAUUGAUGUUAAUCUUGGUAAAAAUGGUGUAUUGAAGAAUAGUGAUAUUGUUGUUGUUUUUAUUAAAUAAAUCUUGCUACUGGUUUAUUUUUUCAACAGAUGAACCAUUUGUUGCAAUAGAUGAACCGUUUGUCCCAAUAGAUGAACCAUUUGUUGCAAUAGAUUAUUCAUUUCCUGGAAGAAAUCAAAAUAUAAUUGAAAUUAUUUUUAUUUUUUCAAACAGAUCACUAUCUGUUGCAACAGAAAAAUGAUCUGUUGCAACAGAUCACUAAUCUGUUCCAACAGAUGACUCAUCUGUUGGAACUAUUAUUUUAAUAUGUUGUACUUGUUAGAUUUACUAAUAUCCUUCUUUUAAUAAUGCAUAAAUCAAUUGUAAUUUUUUUAAUUCUUCUCUUAUUUGUAGAUAAAUGACUCUGAUAAAAGAAAGUGAAUCAACUCCAAGAAAAAGAAGAAGUAAAGUAGCUAGGCUAUAUUCACCACUAGAUUAGCUUGUUGUACAAACAAUAUCUCAAUUAGAAGCAGAAGUUUAUUCUCAAUCAGCUCCAAAUAUAAAAAAAGAAGAAGGAAAAAGUGGAUGAGAAUGAAGAAUUUGGAGAUUUAAAUAAAGAUAUACAAGGAGACAGGAGAAGUGAGGAAGAUUAGAAAUAUGAAGAGAAAAGUGAUGAAAAUACAAAAAAAAUAGAUGUAGAUAAAGAAAGGGAUGGAGAAGAUGAUGAAGUAGAAAAAGAUGAUAAAAAUGAUGAAGGAGAAGAAGAAGAAGAAGAAGAAGAAGAAGAAGAAGAAGAAGAAGAAGAAGAACAAGAAGAAGAAGAAGAAGAAGAAGAUUAAAUCUUGCCAAAAAUGAAACUGGUAAUGUAUGUGUGUCAUAUUCACUUGCUUUUAUAGAGCAUUUAACAACUGGGACCAAUUUGAUAACUCCGGACACUUUAAUAUAUGAAAAUUCAAUUAAAAUGAUGCAAGUUAUAUAUGUUGUUGAUGUAGUAUCAAGAGCUUAGAGUCCUAGUCAAAUAAUUUGUCAUUUGUGAUGACUUUUAUUUUAUGUAACUGUGGAUUCUGACACCAUAAUAAUUUUUAGGCCAAACCCAUCAGCGACCCCCUAAACUUGGCACGAUCUUUCACUUUGGUACCUCAAGUGGACGUCGUUCACUUUUGACACCUCAAGUAGUCAUAAAGUGUGUCACUUUGGCACCUUUUGGCACAAACUUUGGUGAGUAAAUUACACGUGUUUCCAGCAUGGAUUAAGUGGCCAAUUAAUUUGUGCCAACUCAUUUUAAAGGCCACAUCAUUAUUUACACCCAUAAUUUUUUAAAAACAAAAAAAAGGAUCAAAAUACAUGGCUAAGUGUCCAAUAAAUUAAUGACACGUGAUAUUUUAAUUAAAUAGUUACAAAAAUGCCCACAUCUUCCACAUGUAAUUUGUGAUGGCUUGGAUUUAUGUUUAUUAUGACUUUUAUUUUAAUUGUUGAUUAGUUAUUUUGUUACGAAUUGUAUUUUAUACUUAGAUUUGAAAAAUGUUAGAUUAUUGCUAAAGAUGGAUUAUUAAGUUCAAAAAUUACAACAGAUGCAUUAUCUGUUGCAACAGAUCACUCAUGUAUUGUAAAUAAUCAAACAAAAUUAGACAUAUGGUUGCAACAAAGAUGACUAAUCUUUUGGAAAUUAUCAAACAUAUAUAUGCAUCUGUUGCAAAAGAUAACAAACCUAUUGCAACAAAUGACACAUCUGUUGAAAAUUAUCAAAUAAAUAUAUACAUAUAUUACAACAGAUGACUAACCUGUUGCAACAUAUGAUUCAUCUAUUAGAAAUUAUAAAACAGAUAUAGACAUCUAUUGUUAUUGAUGACUAACUUGUUGCAAUAAAUGACUCAUCCGUUUGAAAUUAUCAAACAAAUAUAUGCAUCUAUUGAAAUAGAUGACUAACCUACUACAAUAGAUAACACAUAUAUUGAAUAUUGUCAAAUAAAUUACAGUAAAAUUAGAAUGGAGUAUAGGUAACUCAAUCUUUAAUUAUUGAGUGUGGGUGUCUAUUUUUAGAUUAAGUAUUAAGGGAAUAGACUUCAUAUCCCCAAGUUUUGAGACUUACACUUUGGUCCAUCUAUAUAAAACCCUAAAACUAAAAAGAAGGGGAAAAAUCACGCUUCUUCUUCUUCUUCUUCUUCUUUCUUUUCUAUCUUCGCUUUUUUUCUUCCAUUACUACUUGUCGUAACAUUGUUGUUGUUGUUGUUGCUACCACAACUACUAAUAUUGGACCAUUUUUUUGAGCCAAUUUUGUUUGUAUAUUAGUGGGCAUUACUUAUUGGUGAUUUUGAUAAGUAUAAUUAAUGAUUUUUAGUUCAAUUUUGCAUCUGGUAUAUCUGUUGCUUUUUCAACAAUUUUCACUAGUGUAUCCAACAACUGCUAUAUAUGAAUACAAUAGAUGUUGGAUUAUUUCUAUUACAGUUAAAGCACUUUUAACAAAUAACUCAUCUGUUGCAACAUGUGAGUUAUCUAUUGUAACAAAUGACCAAGCUAUUGCAAUAGAUGACCUACUCGUUGGAUUUACGUUACAGUAGCUCAAUUCAACAAAUAAGUCAUAUGUUGUAGCAGAUGACCGACCUGUUGCAAUAAUUUUAAUUAAUUUCACAUUAAUUACAUGAUCAACUAAGUGUAUUCGUCCUAAAUAGAGUGCUCAAUUGACUAAUUUGAUGUGAAAUGAUUCAUAUUAAAUCAUGAUUAGUAAUAAAUAAAUUAAUUUAACUAAAAUUAGCUUUCAAUUAAUAAGUUCAAUUGCAUAUUUAAUGAAUUACAUAGUAGUUACAUGAUCAACUAAGUGUAUUCGUCCUAAAUAGAGUGCUCAAUUGACUAAUUUGAUGUGAAAUGAUUCAUAUUAAAUCAUGAUUAGUAAUAAAUAAAUUAAUUUAACUAAAAUUAGCUUUCAAUUAAUAAGUUCAAUUGCAUAUUUAAUGAAUUACAUAGUAGUUACAUGAUCAACUAAGUGUAUUCAUCUCGAGUAGAGUGAAAUGGACUAAUUUGAUGUGAAAUAAUUCAUAUUAAACCAUUAUUUAUAAUCUAUGAAUUGAUUUAACUAUAAUUAACUUUCAAUUAAUAAGUUCAUUUACAAUUUUAAUUAAUUUCAUUGUAGUUACACGAGGUUUUGAGUUAAAAGGAACAAAAGAGUUUGAAAAUGAGGUGUAGGUGACUCACAUUUGGAUAAUUAAGUGUUGCUGACAAUUACUUUAUUAUAGAUUAAGAAAGUUGGAGAACUUUUAGAAUAGCCCACAAGUUUUUAAUUUAUACUUUGAUCCAAUGUAGACCCUAAUAUAACUAAAAAAGAAGGAAAAACACACACGUUUCUCUCUCUUCUCAUUUAUUAUUAUUUUCUCUCUUUGAGAUUUUUGUUUUUAUUUGUUGUUGCUGCUUUAUUUAUCAUCAUCUUAUUCAUUAUCAUCAUCAUUUUCUUAUUUAUUAACAUCUUCUUCUUCUUUUUCUUCUUGUUGACCAUUAUUGUUGUUGUUACCGCUAAUGCUGCUACUUGACUAAUUUUUAGGAUAAAUUUUGUUUUGUAUAUCACUUGGGCAUUACUUCAUAGGUGAUUUUGGUAAGUAAAAUUAUGAUUUUUAGUUGAAUUUCUCAUCUGGGUAAGCUGCUACUGCUGUUUUUUCAAAAAUGGAUAGAACCCGAACAUGAGUCAAACAUAUAAGUCAUCUGUUGCAACAAAAGACUCAUAUGUUGGAUCAUGUUGCAGUUUCUAUAGUAUUGCAAAAUGAAUCCAAUAGAUGGGUCAUCUAUUUCAACAGAAGAGUUACUUGUUGUAACAGUAUACUCACAUGUCUAAACAAAACCUAAAGUUAAUUCCAAUAGAUGAGUUAUAUAUUGCAACAGGUGAGUUAUCUGUUCUAACAGAUGACUCACCUAUUGGGAUUCAAGUUAUAGAACUAUAAAACAUGAAGUUGAUUCCAAUAGAUGAGUCAUCUGUUACAAUAGGUGAUUCAUCUAUUGCAACAAGUAAGUGAUCUGUUGCAACAAGUCAUUCAUCUGUUGAAAUCAGUUUCAAAGGUUUUGUAGUACUGUAAUAUCUAUUCUAAUAGUUGCGUCAUCUAUUACAAUGAUGGAUAAUUUACUGCAAUAGAUGAUUCACCUAUUCUAAUAGAUGACUUAUUUGUUGGAAUGAGAUUCAGGUUCUAUAGUACUAUAACAUGAAUCACAACAAACUAGUCAUCUGUUGUAAUAGAUCAUUCACUUGUUGUAAUAAAUUAUUCACCUAUUAUAACUAAUUACUCAAUAGAUUACUCAUCUGUUGGGGUUCAUCUUAUAGUACUAUAUAAUCAUUAUUAAUUUUAUUAUAAUAUCAUUAUUAACUUUUUUAACAAAAGUAUCUAGGUACCACUAAUGGUGGAAUCAAUAACAAUAAGGUUGGAUUGUUAUGGUGAUGGAUCGAGAAGAACAAUUAAUAUAUUUGGCAUUGGAAAGAAGGUGAAAUGCUAGAGACGAUAGCUAUGAUAGUCCAAAGUAAUGUUUCGUAUGAUGAUUUUUCAAACUUAAUCAUCAACUAUUGUGUAUUGAAUCAUCAACCAGAAUAACUUGUCAUUAUCUAUAUGCACAACUGAUGACAUCGAAACUACACCUCCUUUUAGAAGAUGAUACGGUCACUGUAAAGAUGUAGUAACCCAACUAAGGUUAGGUCGAAUCCCAAGAGAACACGUGGAUUUGCAAAUCUCAGUACUUGUAGUCAACGGGCAGAACAAGAAAAGUAAAUGAGGGAUUGUUUGUAGUAGUCUUGAGGAAAGAAUAGUAUUAACUUCAGUUGUAAUCACUAUAGGCUUUUGAACUCUGUAGGUUCAUUGUGCGUUGUUGAACUAACCUAAUACCUUGCAUGCAGAAUCGAUAAGUUAUGUACAUUUCUACAAUCUUUUGGACGAGUAGAAGGAUUUCACCUUUUACCUUUUGUGUCUCAGGAUGUCAUAUUACUAACCCUUAUCUUGAUCCCAAUUAAAUAUUACCUUUUGAGUCUCUACUUAUUAGAUAAAAGUUAAUCAUCUUACAUAAAUAUUAUAUAGUAGCGUGGAUCGACUGUUAAACAUCAAAUUACUGUUGUCAUUAUCUUUUCAUAGUCACUACUUUUGUUUUGGAGUAAGUAGCAAUAAUCUAGGUGGGAUACUAAUGUUUGCAAUCGCUAAGAAAUCUAUUAAAGUGAAGAUAAUGCAAUGCAAACCAUGGGUAUUGGUUCAAUUCAACAAUCGCACUUUCCCUUCUUCGUUAAUUCGCCAGGGGUCGCACAACCCUAGCUAUGGGUUUUAUUUGCUCAAAGUUGUGAAGAUCUCAAUAAAAUUCAUAGUAUAAAGCAUAGAUGAAAUCACACUAAUAAGAUGAAUUAAAACUCAAAACCGUAACUUGAUUAAUCAAUUAAAGUUAGGACAAUAUAAUCCCAAGAUCAAAAUCGGAUCUUGGAAUCAAAAUAUAUUUGUGAGUGUCAAAAGUGUGUAACUCAAACUAAAAAGUACAUAAAGGAUAUUUAUAAUACAAGAGGAAACCCUAAAACCAAAUCCCAAAUGAAAUAGGAGAAAACCGGGUCGGUGGCCAUCUGCUCUCUGUAGCUAUGAUCUGGCACAGGGAACAGGUAGUACCUGCUAUCCUAACACAAGGCGCAGUUACAAACUAAAGGUUCAACUCCUCAACCUAGCUCUAUGGAUUUCCACCUUUGGCACCUACUCUGUCCACCUUCAGUCCAUAGGUUCUACAUGCGGUCCGUAGGUUUCCUUAGUAGGUGCCGAAAGUCAUUUUCAGCUAUUUUUCACUUCUUAAACAUGCUUUGAUCAUGAACAAGUUGAAAAACAUCCCAAAUAUCCAUAUUUGCUUGAAAAAGUGGCAAAACACACCUUUUCCACCUUUUUUAUUAACUUAACAUCCAAAAUAUAAUUUUCUGCAAAGCAUAUCCAAAACAAAUUAGAUCUAACAAGAUAACCUCAAAAACCUGCAAUUUUCCUCAUUUUAAGCAUCGAAAGUGCUAUAUCUCUAUAAAACAUCAAUACCCUCAACUUAGAACAUUUGCAUGUCCUCAGACAACAAAACAUAAUAAAACAAAAUGAUGCUUAACUAGGAGAAAGUAAGCUAUUCAAGGCAGUCAGUCAACAAUUAAACUCAAAACACAACAUCCCCCUCCAAUCUCAAUUUUCAAAACCAACUGUGUAUGAACAUGAAGUACAAUAGUGUGAUACAAUGGGAUCAUGGCAUGAAAAUUACAUUAGCAACAAACCACUACUCAUAUUUACAAAUUACACUAUUCGAACAAGCAAAUAGCUGGCAAUAUGGUUCAAGUGCCUUCAUAACAAAGAUGUCCCACUCACUCAUAUAAAUCAUGCAUGUCAAUGUAGGGACAGUCAAGAGACACUCAUACUUAAAAAAAAGUUCCAACCAAUGCAUUUCAAAUACCAUAGGCUUGCCCUUAUUUUCUUUACCUUAGAAUUCAGAUAGUCAUGUUAGGAUCACUAUAGGACUUUUCUCGGCUUGUAAUGUAGGCUUGGGGGCCGGUAUGGUACAUAUGGACAUAUCAAGUGACUGAGCCUCCUUGGUACUACACUAACCUUGAGGUCUCACUUACUAGCCAAUUUUCUUUUUAUUCUAUCCUUAUUUCUCCCUUUUAUUCUUUAUUGCACAUUGAGGUUGGGUGUGGUCUUUCAUUUUUUAUUUUUUCUCUUUUUCACAUUUUUUUCUUUUCUUUUGCUUUUUUUUUUCUACCAUACCCUGCCCUACUAACUUUUUCUCUUAUUUUACCCUUCUUUAUAUCCAUUUUAUGCUACACACCCCUAUGAUAGCCACCCUCAACUUAGGCAAUUUGUCUAAGUUAAGGUUCACAAUGUCUAAGGAGGACUAGGGCCAAAACAGGUUCAUUCUAAUACAAAUGGGAAUAUGAAUGGUGAAAUAAGAAAAAUAUGCUAUUAGGCCCAAAAUCGGGAUCAAGGGAUACAAUUCACACAUAAAAGGUCAUGUAGGCUAAAAGUGGACUAACCAACUAUGCUACAACCUAGGAAAGAUUAACAGGACAAGUUUUUAAUUUAACACUUAAAGGGAACUAGGCAGUAUCACACACACUCAUGGCACAGAGUCAAUAUUACCAACUAAUGCCUAUCUAGUUCAUGUAAUUAUCAGCAAAUAAUUAUUUUGUCCCUAAUUCUAAUUCCAUAACAAGAUCCACAAAAUUCACACAUAUAUACAUCAACACAAUUCUAAGACACAAAAGUUUUGAGGGGUAUCAAAAAUCAAAACAUAUCUACUGCCCUAAAUUCUCAAAAUCUCCUAAUUACACAAAAUAUCAUAAAACAAAACACAAUAUGCCUAAACAUGCUGGCUCUACUAGAAACAAGACUCUCAAGAAAAGAGGUAAGACAACUGUAACGCCCUGGGAAUACACCCUGAAUGCCAUACGGUGCUUACAGCCACAAGUGACCACAAGCUAACCCAUGAACUGGUAUCUAUUGUGAGCACUGAACUAACUAAUAAUAAAGGAUACACAUGGAACAAAGCUGGAUAUACCAUAUGGUAUAAAUAUUUAAAAAUAUCUUUGAACUAAAAUGCCUGAAAAAUAAAUGUUUAAAAACAACACUGUAAAGACUGUCAGUAAUAACUGAUAAUUGACUAACUGUCUGAAAGCCUCUAACUGACUGACUGUGGAGUUGAUGGGACAAUUCCCCAACUAACUCCGAUUGACUACUAAAUUUAAAUACUAAAAUAAACAUAAACAGUCCUUGGGAUAUGAGGAAUCACCACUGCUACUGCUACUAAUGCGCUGGGAUGUCUAGGUACGGUCAGAAAUCUGAGUGUCUGAACCUAUAAUAUGAGACAUCAUAGCGCAAGAAAUGAGUAUGCGGUCAGUACUUUGAAUGUACUAGUAUACUAAAUAAGGUUAGGCUGAUAUGCAUGACUCAUAUACAUGAAUAAUAACUGACUGAAUAAAUAACAUGAGAUAACUGAUGUAUAAUAUGUGAGGAAGCUUUAAAAUCUAUGAAUGCAUGACAUGAUACUGGAUAGUCUAUAAACUGAAAUACUGAUAUUGAAAAACUAAUAACUGUAUGCAUGCUCAAGUAAGACUGAAAUAGUACUUUGAGUUGAAUACUGUACUGAGACUGUGGGAGCUAUCAUCUAACCGACAUGCCCAAAUAAGUGCUAAUUGGGGUCCAACUUGUGACCCCAGUUUGAAUUGUGUCAGUACCAUGCCACGAGUACUAACACUGGCCGCGUGGAUGUACUAAAAUAAAAUCCCAAAGGACAAAAGAGUCACCCUCUACUAGUAGGUGCUCUAGUGAGAUAUAUGUCAACCCUUAAUUAUUAGGUUAGUAUCUCUAACCUAUGAUGGCUACAUAGAUCUAGUUUGCAGGGACUACUUCUAAAGGUCAUAAACUCAACUAGAAGGUGAGCCCCCUUCCCUGGGUUCGUUCGGUUCUAAAUUCUACUCCCAACUGAACUGACUUAGAAUACUGAACUUAUCUAAAAUUGAUUCAUAGGAUGACUGACUAAACUAAUAAUACUCAUAUAUGACUGAAAACCAUUCUGAAAGUACUAAGAAUAAGUAAAUAGCUAAAUUUCAUGUAUUCAUAACCCUUAGAACUCGAUAACAUUAACAGUAAAAGCAUACCAAAGCUUCAAAAGCAUAAUAAGUAGUCAUUGCUCAAAAUUCAUCUCUUAGGCAUUUCAUCAAACACUUGAAAUUCAUGAACUUAGGCAUGUGAAUGAUUGAAACAUGUGAGAAUAACAUAAUCAUAACACUAGAACCAUACAUUGGGCUAUUUAACAUGGAAUUUCACGCUUUAAACGUGUAAAGUCUACUUUUCAACUACAAACACUUGUAAACAUCAUGCAUAAUCAAAUUUCCCAAAAGCUUUAUGAAAUUAAGUCAUUGUAAACAUGUGAACUCAUAAUUUUGAACACAAAAAUAGAUACUUGGACUCCAUAGAUGAAAAGGGCCUAUGGAUGAACAUUUAACAUACCUUAAGGCUUUAAUCUUGCAAGAAAAUUGAUGUUCUUGAUCGUUCUUGGGUGGUGAAUCUUGAAUUAUUGGGUUUUAUUGAAGAAAUAAAGGAUUGAACUUAAUGAAUUUGGGUGAUGACUAUGGUUUAUUUUAAAGAGAAAUUGUGGAAAUAUGGCAUACAAUGCCUUAACUAAUGAUAACUCCCGUGUUUUUACAGAUUGGGCCAUGGGAGAAGACAAGACUGCCCCUCUGAAAUUAAAAUCAUAAAUGAAAUGCCGAUUGAUCCCUUACCAUGAUGCGCUAAGGCCUCCAUCGCUAUUCUAUCGUGAAAUGCCAUAGUCGCGGUGACUUCGCCUCCAUCGCUAUUCCAUCGUGAAAUGCCAUAGUAGUGGUGACUUCCUAUUUUGGAAAUCCAAACGUGGGUCAAACCUCGUCUAAAAAAUCCAAAAAAUUACUUGAGACAUGCUACAGAUACCCCUGAAUAUAAAUCAACUCAAAAACUUACAUCUCGGGGUUGGGAAGGUCAUUUUAAAAAUCACCGAAGUUAAGAGCCCAAAAAUAAAACUAAGUGUCCAACACGUAGCUAAAUUUUUAGGUUCUAAGCCCCUUGUACAUGCUUUAUAUGCUGAAUUUAGCUAUGACAAAUAUGGGGUAUUACAAUAUCUCCCCCUUAGGAACAUUCGUCCUCGAAUGAGACUGAUUAAGCUAAGAAAAUACAGAGGUACUGAGAUUAUAUGCUGAAUAUGCAUAACUGAAAACAUGACUACAUGACUGAGUCUAAAACAUGGUGUCUGAUUGAACUGAUUCAUGGCUAGAACUGAGAAUGGAAAAGAGAUAAUUUAAGGAAAACUAUUACUUUGAGGUGAGUUUGAAUUUGUGGAGAGAAGGUGAGGGUACUUGGUAUGCAUGUCUACUUCUGCUUCCCAAGUAGCUCCCUCAACGGACUGAUUCCGCCAAUGAACUUUGACCAAGGGAACUUCUUUGUUCCUUAGUCUACGAAUUUGGAGGUCUAAGAUUUUGAAUGGGAGCUCUUCGUAUGAAAGGCUUACCUGAACAUCUAUAGUUUCUCAAGGAACAACCAUAGUUGGGUCACUAAUACACUUCUUUAACAAGGACAUAUGGAACACUGGAUGCACGGAAGCCAAAUCUGUGGGCAGCUCAAACUUAAACGCUACCAUUCAAAAGUAACUCAAGCUCUUGUAAGGGCCUACAUAUCAGGGACUGAGUUUCCCCUUUUUGUCAAAUUUCUUUACUUUCUUCAUGGGAGAGAUCUUCAAAUAUACCAAAUCUCCUACUCAAACUUAAGAUCUUUUCUCCUCACAUAUGCAUAGGAUUUCUAAUGGCUUUGGGAUGUCUUAAGCCUCUCCCUAAUCAAUAGAACAUUCUCUAAAGCGUCAAACACAGAAUCUGGCCCUAUCAAUGCAAUCUCACCUACCUCAAACCAACAAAUAGAUGAUCUACAUAUCCUCCCAUAGAGAGCCUCAAAUAGAGCCAUAUGAAUACUGGAAUGAUAACUAUUAUUGUAAGAAAACUCAAUCAAUGGCAAGUGAUCAUCCCAACUGCCCUUAAAGUUGAUAACACAAUCUCUCAAUAUGUCCUCUAAGGUCUGAAUGGUCCUCUUUUCCUGACUAUUUGUCUAAGGGUGAAAGGUUAUACUGAGACAAAAUUAGGUACCAAGACCCUUCUAAAAAACCUUCCAAACAUGAGAGGUAAACUGAGUACCUCUAUCUAAACUGAUGGACAAUGGGACUCCAUGCAAUCUAACCUACUCCCUAAUGUAGAGCUUGGCAUAAUCCUCAAUUGAAUAAGAUAUAUGCACUGGCAAGAAAUGGACUGAUUUAGUUAUUCUGUCUGUAAUAACCCAAAUUAAAUUAUGCUGGCAACGUGAACGAGGCAACCCAGUCACAAAAACUAUGUUCACCUAUUCCCACAUCCAAGUGGGAAUGCUGAACUCCUACAUAGAGCCACUAGGCCUUUGGUUCUCAAUCUUAACCUACUGACAAUUAGAAUACUUGGCUAUAAACUCUGUAAUAUCCCUCUUUAUUCCACUUCACUAAUAGAUAUCUAGCAAAUCACUGUACAUCUUAAUGUCCCUUGGGUGAAUAGAGUAACGUGCACCAUGCACUUAUUCUAAGACUUGUUGUCUCAACCUAUCAACACACGACAUGUACAUCCUACCUUGAUACUACAACACACUAUCUCCUCCUUGGGAUAAAACCUCUACUUUUUGAUCUCUAACUGACUUCUUCAACUUAAUUAGACUGGGAUCCCUAUCUUGAUUUUCUUUUACUUCGGCAACCAAAGAAGAUUCCAAACUAUUCUGAACCCGUACACUACCCUCAACUAAGUCAACCAAAUGAAUGCCUAAUCUAGACAACUAAUAAACCUCCUGAACUAACUUCUUUUUAUCAUUCUCAAUAUGAGGCACACUACCCAUAGACAAACUACUAAGGGCAUCUGCCCCUACAUUGGCCUUGCCCGAAUAAUACAAAACACUUAUAUCAUAGUUUUUCAAUAAUUCUAACCUCCUUCCCUGACAAAGAUUUAAAUCUCUCUAUGAAAAUACAUACAACAAACAUUUAUGAUCUGUGAACACAACAAUAUGCACCCCAUAUAAAUAAUACCUCUAAAAUUUCAAGGCAAACACAAUAUCUGCUAACUUAAGAUCAUGGUAGGAUAAUUCUUUUCAUGGGGCUUAAUUUAUCUAGAGGUGUAGGCUAUGACCUUACUUCUCUACAUUAACACAAAAACCUAAAACAACUCUAGAAGCAUCACAGUAAACUACAAACCCAUCUAUGCCAUCUGGCAAGGUUAAAACUGGGCCUGAGGUGAGUUGAGUCUUCAACUCUAGAAAACUCUUCUCACAAGAAUCCAACUACUAAAACUUGACUUUCUUCAGAGUUAAUCUAUAAAUGAGGGAUGCAAUAGAUGAAAACCCUUCAACAAAUCAUCUGUAAUAGCCAGCCAAACCUAGGAAACUCCUGAUAUCUGAUGGAGAAAUGGGUUUGGGAAAGUUUCUCACUACUUAGGUCUUUUGAGGGUCGAAUCUAAUGUCAUCACCAAAAAUAAUAUGGCCAAAUAAAGCUACUGAUCAUUGCCAAAACUUUCACUUACUAAAUUUGGUAAACCACUGAUGGGCUCUAAGAGUCUGUGAUACAAUUUGAGAUGGCCUGCAUGAUCAUUUUCACUACGGGAAUAGAUAAGAAUGUUAUCUAUGAAGACUAUGACGAACAUGUCCAAAUACUGCUUAAACACUCUGUUCAUCAAAUUCAUGAAAGUUGCUGGGGCAUUUGUAAGACCAAAAGAGAUAACUAAGAAUUUAAAGUGACCAUACCGAGUCCUGAAAACUAUUUUAAAAAUGCCACAUUCUCUGACUCUGAGAUGAUGAUAGCCAUAUCUGAGGUAUAUCUUAGAGAAGUUACUGCUACCCUGAAGUUAGUCGAACAAGUCAUCAAUUAUGGGGAGUGGGUAAUUAUUCUUGAUUGUGACUUUAUUUAAUGGAUGGUAAUCGAUGCACAUACGAAGAGAACCGUCUUUUUUUCGCACAAAAAGGACUGGAGUGCCCCAUGGGAAAACACUGGGCAUGAUGAAUCCCUUAUCUAAGAGAUCUUUCAACUAUUAUUUUAACUCCCUAAGCUCUACUAGAGCUAUUUUGUAGGGUAAAAUAGAGAUAGGUUGGGUAUUUGGAAGGAGAUACAUUUCAAAGUCAAUUUUCCUUUUAGGAGAAACUCUGAGAAGAUCUUUGGGAAACACAUCUGGAAAUUCCCUCACUACUGAAACUGACUCAAGAUUGAGAGUCUCUUAACUAGAGUGACUAACUCGAACAAGAUGGUAGACAAACCCCUUGGAUAUCAUUUUUCCCGCUCUAAGGUACGAAACAAGCGGACCCCUAAGUGUUGAAGUACUAACCCUCCAUUCUAGGACUGGCUCAUUUGGAAAUUGAAAAUGAACAACUCUAUUUCUAUAAUCGACUUAAGCAUAGCAUGAGUGGAGCCAAUCCAUUUUGAGAAUGGCAUUAAAAUCCAUCAUCUCUAACUCCACAAGAUUAACUAAAUUGACUUUUUGGGAUAUUAUGACUGGAAAGUCUUGUAUACCUACCUGGACACAAUAGAGACACCUACUGGGGUAGAAACUGCAAAGGAUUUUAAUAAAGUCUUAGGACUGACAUCAAAAUCAACAACUAUGUAAGGGGUUACAAAAGAAAGAGAAGCUCCGGGAUCUAAUAAAGCAUAAACAUAUAAAUGAAAGACCUGCAACAUAGCAGUAACCACAUCAGGAGAAUUUUUUUGAUCCCACCAAAACUGAAGUGCAUACAAUUUAUUUGGGUGCUAACCACUGGUGGCACUGGAAGUGGCACCCUACUGAGUCGAGAGAUCGGAUGGAACUGAUGGACGACUAGACUAACCCUGUUGACCAUUAUAUGGGAAAUACCUGACCUUAUGGCCUGGUUUUCCACACUAAAAACAUAUAUCACUGCAAGCUCUACACAUACCCUGAUGGUUUCUACAACUUUUCUGGCAAAGAGGAUUUGUGCGACCGCUGUUCACAGUCCCUGGGACUUAGGGCCUGGCUCUCUCUCCCGAUUAUUAUUUCUGAACUUUAGUGCUAGCACACUAGAUAAAUAUGGAGCUGGGACUAAAUAUUUUUGAUGGAAUAGAGAGCGGUUACCACCCUCUAAGUCAGAUGAGCAAAAUUAAAGAUGCCUGUUCUAGCCCUCUUAUUCUCUUUAAGCUUCUGAUCCUCAAUCUGUUGAGCAUAGACCAUCAAUCGAUUUAAGUACAUCUCUUUAAUCAACAUUGCGGUCCUGCACUUCUUGACCAUGCUAUCAGCUACCCCAAAGACAAACUUACUCAUCUUAGACCUGUCAUCAGACCCCACAUUAGUAGCAUACCUGGCUAGCAAAGUAAACUUAAGAGAAUACUCCUUCACACUCAUGUUUCCCGGUCUCAAAAUAAUAAACUCCUGCACCUUAUCUUUCCUUAACUCUAAGGGAAAGAACCUAUCUAAAAAGGCUAUCGCAAACUCUUCCUAUUUUAACAGGCCCUGCAUCUACCCCUCUGUCUCCCUUCCACUACUUAUACUAGGUGUGCGCAACAUCCUGCAACUGGUAAGCACCUAACUCUGCACUCACUAGAAGUAACACCCAUAAUAUCACUUACAUUAUAAACCAUGUCAAGGAACUCCUACGGAUCUCAUCAAACUUAAAUCUUGAAAACAGAGGAGGGUUCAUUCGGGUGAAGUCUCGAAUCCUAAAUGGGACAGUAUAGCCACUAGAAUGGCUUGUAUGGUAGAUGGCUAAUUAUUUUGGGUUUCUACUGAGUGAGCUAAAGUAGUGAAUGUAGCUCUGAAUUUUGCAUGGCAGACAUGCUCAUUCAGGGGAUCUCCCUAAAUAGGUGUAGGUCUGAGCUGUUUCCUAUUUCUCCUUCUGUUAUUCAUUCUAGGAGGCAUGUUCUGUAAAUGAAAAGAAGAUUGAAUUAUAAAUAUGGUUUAAAUUGAGCUUAUUCUCACUCGCAUGACAUGAAUACAGAAAGAAGAGAAACUUUUCCUAAAAAAUCUUGUAGCCUCUUAUCCAUAAGUGUAGCGCGUUUCACAACCAUGCACAAGACUCUACUCAACGCGACUUUAGAGUACCUAGGACACUUUAAAACUUGGCUCUGAUACCAAGUUUGUAAUGCCUUGAGAGUGUACCCUGUAUUCCACAUAGCGCUUAUAGUCACAAGUGACCAUAAGCUAACCCAUGAGCUGGUACCUACCGUGAGCACUGAACAAACUGAUAAUAACGAAUACAUAUGUGUAGAAAACAAAGCUGGAUAUGCCAUAAGGUUUAAAAAUUUAAAAAUAUCUCUGAACUAAUAUGCUUGAAAAGAAACUAUCUUAAAAUAAUACUAUAAAGAUUUUCAAUAACAAUUGAAAACUGAGUAACUAUCUGAAAGCCUCUAACUAACUGAAUACUUACUGAAACACUAAAAUAAAAAUAAAUGGUCCUUGGGUUAUGAGAUAUCACCACUACUACUGCUAAUGGUGCGAUGGGAUGUAUAGAUGUGGUCGGGAAACUGAGCGUACGAACCUAUGAUAUAAGACAUCAUAGUGCAAGAAAUGAGUAUCCGAUCAGUACUUUGAAUGUACUAGAAUGUGAAAGGAUGAAUAAUAACUGACUGAAUAAAUAACAUGAGAUAACUGAUGUAUAGUAUGCGAGAAAGCUGUAAAAUUUGAGAAUGCAUGACCAAGCAUAUUACAUUAUACUGGAUAGUCUAUUUACUGAAAUGCUAAAAUAUUAAUACUGAACAACUAAUAACUGUAUGCAUAGUUAAGCAAGCCAAAAACUGAACUCUGAGCUAAAUACUGUACUGAGAUUGUGGGAGUAAUCAUCUAACUGGCAUACCCCAAUAAGAGAUAAUUGGGGUCUAACCUAUGACCCAAAUUAGAAGGGUGUCAGUACAGUGCCCUAGGUACUAACACUGUCUGCGUGGAUCCACUGAAAUAAAGUCCUAAAGGACUAAAGAGUCACCCUCUACUGGCAGGUUCUCCAGUGAGAUAUAUGUCAACCCUCAACUGGCAGGUUAACAUUCUAACCUAUAUUGACUAUAUAGUUCUGGUAUGCAGGGACUGCUACUAAAGGUCACACCCUCAACCGACAGGUGAUCCCCCAUCUCUGGGUUCAUUCGAUGCUAAAUUAUACUCCUAGCUGAACUAACUCAAAAUACUGAACUGAUCUAAACUUAACUGACAGGAUAACUGACUGUACAAAUAAUACUCAUAUAUGCCUGAAAAUCAUUUUUAAAGUAUUAAGACUAAGUAAAAAACUAAAUUUUUGCUAUUCAUAACACCCUGGACUCGAUAACAUUAACAGUAAAAGCAUACCAAAGCUUUGAAAGCAUAAUAAGUAGUCAUUUCUCAAAAUUCAUCUCUUAGGAAUUUUAUCAAACACUUGAAAUUCAUGAACUUAGGCAUGGGAAUGAUUGAAACAUGUGGGAAUAACAUAAUCAUAACACUAAAACCAUACAUUGAGGGAUUUAAGAUGGAAUUUCAUGAUUUAAACGUGUAAAGGCUACUUUCCAACUAAAAAUGCUUGUAAACAUCAUGCAUAAUCAAAUUUCCUAAAAGCUUCAUGAAAUUAACUCAUUAUAAACAUGUGAAUUCUUGAUUUAGAACACAAAAAUAGGUACUUGGACUCUAAGGGUGAAAAGGGCCCAUAGAUGAACAUUUAACAUACCUUAAGGCUUUAAUCUUGCAAAAGAAUUGAUGUUCUUGAUCGUUCUUGGGUGGUGAAGCUUGAAUUAUUUAGUUUUAUUAAAGAAAUAAAGGAUUGAGUUUGAUGAAUUUGGGUGAUGCUAUGGUUUAUUUUAAAGAGAAAUUGUGGAAAUAGGGCAUACAAUGCCUUAACUGAUGAUAAAUCUUGUGUUUUUACUUAUUGGGUUAUAGGAAAAGAUCUGACUGCCCCUNNNNNNNNNNNNNNNNNNNNNNNNNNNNNNNNNNCCGAUUGAGCCAUCACCAUAAUGCUCCAAAGCCUCUAUUUCUAUUUCACCGUGAAAUGCCACAAUCGCAGUGACUUGCUAUUUUGGAAAUCCAAACAUGGUCCAAACCUCAUCCAAAAAAUCUAAAACUUAUUUGAGACAUGCUACUUACAUACCUGAACAUGAAUCAACUCAAAAACUUAUGUCUCGGGGUUGAGAAGGUCACUUUAAAAAUCAUCAAAGUUGAGAGGCCAAAAAUAAAACUAAGUCUCCAACACUUAGCUAAAUUUUUAGGUUCUAAGCCCUUUAUAUAUGCACGAUGGGCUGAAUUGAGCUAAGACAAAUACGGGGUAUUACAGCAACAAAAAUCCCAAGAGAAUACUAAAACCCACAAGUAGCCCCACCCUUAGCUAAAAAUCAUGCAUUAUCUCCAAUGCAUCUAACCAAAACAAGAGAGUUAGGAACAUACAUGUUAUACCAUAGGUUCGAAUAUCCGACGUCAAUCACACAAAUACUAAUAAAAACAACAAAAUACCAUGGGUUGCCUCCCAAGCAACACCUAGUUUACUAUUACGGCAUGACUCAUUUCCCUUAGCUACUCAGACUUCACCAAGGUCUAUAUCAGCACAAACUCUGACUUCUUCCAUGUUUCCCAUGUAGUGUUUCACUCACUACCCAUUUACUUUAAAUGUGAUAUCACCAUCAUGCUUUAUCUCAAUACUACCAUAUGGGAAUACCUUAACCAUGGAAACAAGCGUAGUCUUGAAUUAUAUAACAAGAUCACAUCAUUGGGUUUGAAUAUUCUCUUUUUUAUCUUCUUGUCAUGGUACAACAUCAUUAUUUGUUUGUAUAUGGAUGAGCUCUCAUAAGCACAGAGUCAAAAUUCAUCCAACUUAUUCACCUUGCUCAACCUUAAGUUUGCUGCAUCACGCCACUCAAAAUUCAGCCUUUUCAAUACCCAUAGUGCCUUGUGCUCAACCUCAACCGGUAAAUGACAUGCUUUUCCAUAUAAAAUAUAGUAUGGGGAGGCACCUAUGGGAGUGUUAUAAGCUGUUUAGUAAGUCCAUAAUGCAUCAUAUAACUUUCUUGACCAAUCAGUUCUAUUGGCAUUCACAGUUCGUUGCCAAGAUAAACUUUAUUUCUCUAUUUGUGACUUCAACUUGACUACUUGUCUGAGGAUGGUAAGGUGUUGCCACCUAAUGCCUUACACUAUAUCUAUCUGGUGGGGCUUUGAACAAAUGGUUGCAGAAGUAAGACCCACCAUAACUAAUAAUGGCACGUAGAGUGCCAAAUCUAGAAAAGAUGUUUCUUUUAAGAAAAAUGGUGACACUUCUGCCUUCAUUAUCUGGAAGUGCAACUACCUCCACCCAUUUUGAUACAUAUUUAACCACUACCAGAAUGUAUUUCAUGCCAAAGAAGCUCACAAAUGGGCUUAUGAAAUAAAUCCCCAAAACAUCAAAUAGCUCCAACUCCAAAAUAGGCAUUAUGGAGAGUUUAUGGUGCCACAAAAUGUUUUCUUGACUCUGACAUUGGUCACAGACCUUUGCAAAAUAGUGAUCAUCCCUGUAGAUUAUAGACCAAUAAAACCAAUAUUUUAAGAUUUUAUGGGUUGUGCGUGUACCACUAUGAUGACCUCCAACUCGUAAUGAAUAACAAGCCUCUAUAAUGCUCAACAUCUCCACCUCUGGUAUACAUAUCUGAAUUACCCUAUUAGCACAAACACUAAAUAGAUAUGGCUCAUCCCAAAAGAACUUCCACACCUUAUGCAUAAAUUUCCAUCACUGCUGGAAGGAUAAAUCUUUUAGAAGGACAACACUUGCCUAGUAGUUGGCAAAAUUAGCAAACUAGGGGAUUAAAUUAUGAUAUGCUGCUAGAACAUGAUCAUCUAGAAAACCAUCAUAUAUCUCAAGAUUAUACCCUAAUUUCGAUAUAGUUUCCUCCUCAAGUCUGUAUAAGUAGUCUGGAACUUAAUUUUCUUUCCCUUUUUGAUCCUUGACAUUAAAAUCAAACUCUUAUAGUAAGAACCCAAAAAAUCAAUUAUGUUUUAGCAUAUUUAUUCAACAUUAAAUACCUCAAUGUUGCAUGGUCCAUGUUAACUAUCACCUUGUCCCCUAUCAAAUAAGACUAAAACUUCUCAAAAGCAAAAACCAUUGAGUGUAGCUUUUAUUUUGUGACUGUAUAAUUUUUCUAUGCAGGGGUCAAAUCUUUACUGGUAUAGUAUAUAGGAUGCAAGAUCUUCUCUCUUAUUUGGCUUGGGAUAGCACCCAACGUCACUUCACUUGCAUCACACAUAACCUCAAAAGGUCUAGACCAGUUAGGAAACACAAUAAUGGGUGGCAAAAUCUACCAUUCCUUUAGGAAUUUAAAAGACUUUAGACACUCAUUAUGAUGCACAAAUUUAAUAUCUUUCUCUAAAAGUUUGCACCUAGGAGUUGCAAUUUUAGAGAAGUCCUUGAUGAAUCUUCUAUAGAAACCUUCAUGGCUUAAAAAGCUUCAUAUGCCUCUAACUGAUUCUGGCGGUGGCAAUUUCUCAAUAACCUUAAUCUUUUCUUUUUCUACUUCAAUUCCAUAUUUAGAGAUCUUGUGCUUUAGUCAGAUACUUUCUCUCAUCAUAAAGUAGCAUUUUCCCAGUUUAGUACCAAACUGUAUUCUUUGAAUCUAUGUAGUGCACUAGCCAGAUGAACCAAACAAUCAUUGAAAGAAUCCCCAACUACUGAAAAGUCAUCCAUGAAUACCUCUAUCAUGUCUUCUAUUAUGUUAGAGAAUAUGGACAUCACACAUCUCUGAAAAGUGGUAGGUGCAUUGCAUAGUCCAAAUAACAUCCUCUUGAAAGAAAAGGCCCCAUAGGGGAAAGUAAAGGUUCUCUUUUCUUAGUCUUUGGGAGCAAUCAUAAUUUUAUUGUAACCCAAAUACCUAUCAAGAAAAUAUUACCAACCUCUACCUGCAAAUUUGUCCAACAUCUGAUCCAUGAAUGACAUUGGGAAGUGGUUCUUUUGUGUCCACUUGUUCAACUUUCUGCAAUCCAUGCACACUCUCUAUCAAGUCACUGGUCUUAUUGGUACUAGCUUAUUUUUUUCAUUUGGAACAACUGUGAUCCCUCUUUCAUUGGGAUGCACUGAACUGGGCUAACCCACUUGUUGUCUACAAUAGGAAAAAUCACUUCAGUAUCUAACCACUUGAUUAUCUGAUUUUUCACCACUUCUUGUAUAGGAGGAUUUAGUCAUUUCUAAUGCUUAAUAAUGGGAAUGCUAUCUAGUUAAAGAUGCAUAAUAUGUGUGCAUAUAUCUGGUGGGAUCCCCACAAUAUCUGCAAUAGUCCACCCAAUAGCUCUCUUGAAUUUCUCUAAUACUGAUAUAAAAGCUUCCACCUAUGAUCCUGAUAAAUCUGCUAUAAUAAUUACUGGCAAUGUAUUAUUGGCCCUCAAGAAUACAUACUGCAAAUGAGAUAGGAUGGCCUUUAAUUCCAAUGCAAGAGGUUCUUCAAUCAACGGUCUUGCAGAAGGUGUGGUUCUAUUCUUCAAGUCAAGAUCAGCACUCGAGGCCACUAUGCUUGCAUCACAUAUUAUGUCAAAAUGUGCAAACUAGUCCAGUAACACAAUAACAGAAGUCAAAAUCGACCUCUCCUUUAGGUAUUUGAAAUACUUGAUACACAUAUUAUUAAACACAAACUUCAACUCCUUCCCUAAAAGUUUGCAUAGUAGGGAUACAAUUUUAGAGAAGUCAUUGAUGAAUCUUUUAUGGAAAUCGACAUAUCCUAAAAAACUCCGUAUACCUUUUACUGAUACUGGAGGAGGAAAUUUCACAAUCACCUCUAUCUUCUCUUUGUCUGCCCCAAUGCCAUAUUUGGAGAUCUUAUUCCCUAACACUAUAGCUUCUCUUACUAUGAAGUGACAUUUUUCAUAAUUUAGCACCAAAUUACAUUCUUCACAUAUACGCAGUACACUGGAUGGAUGUGUUAGGCAAUCAUCAAAUGAAUCUCCAAUAAUUAAAAAUUGACCCAUUAAUACCUCAAUCGUAUCUUUCACCUUGUCAUAGAAUAUAGACAACAUAUAUCUCUAAAAGGUUUUAGGUGCAUUGAAUCUGAACAACAUCCUCUCGAAUGCAAAGUUCCCAUAGGGGGAAGUAAAGGUAGUCUUUUAUUGAUCCUCGUGAGCAAUCAUGAUUUGAUUGUAUCCAUAGUACCCAUCACAAAAACAAUACCAACCCCGGCUGGAAAAUUUGUCCAACAUCUGAUCCAUGAAUGACAUUGGGAAAUGGUUCUUUUGUGUCCACUUGUUCAACUUUCUGCAAUCCAUGCACACUCUCUAUCAAGUCACUGGUCUUAUUGGUACUAGCUUAUUUUUUUCAUUUGGAACAACUGUGAUCCCUCUUUCAUUGGGAUGCACUGAACUGGGCUAACCCACUUGUUGUCUACAAUAGGAAAAAUCACUUCAGUAUCUAACCACUUGAUUAUCUGAUUUUUCACCACUUCUUGUAUAGGAGGAUUUAGUCAUUUCUAAUGCUUAAUAAUGGGAAUGCUAUCUAGUUAAAGAUGCAUAAUAUGUGUGCAUAUAUCUGGUGGGAUCCCCACAAUAUCUGCAAUAGUCCACCCAAUAGCUCUCUUGAAUUUCUCUAAUACUGAUAUAAAAGCUUCCACCUAUGAUCCUGAUAAAUCUGCUAUAAUAAUUACUGGCAAUGUAUUAUUGGCCCUCAAGAAUACAUACUGCAAAUGAGAUAGGAUGGCCUUUAAUUCCAAUGCAAGAGGUUCUUCAAUCAACGGUCUUGCAGAAGGUGUGGUUCUAUUCUUCAAGUCAAGAUCAAACUUCUUAGGGGCAUAAUAGUAAGAGCCUAUUCUAUGUAAGGAACCAAAAAUCUCAUCAUAAUUAUCUAUUCCAUCACUCUCAAAGUUCAUAAUCAUGACUGAUACUAUUUUUACCUGUAAUCUCUCCUCAAUAGGCACAUCUACUGUGAACAUAUCAUCAUUCACUGCAUCUAUCCCACUACUCUUAUAUCAUCUAACUGUUAUAUUGUCAUACAUAUAUUCAACACAAUUUGAUCAUCAUUUUAAUUAAAAGUGAUUUCUUCCAAAUCCAUGUCAAUCAACCCUUGACCAAUAGACAAGAAAGGUCUACCCAAUAUGAUAGGUGAAUGGGUAUCCACUUCAUAGUAUAGAAUCAUGAAAUCUAUCGUAUAAAUGAAUGAUGCUACCAUUACUUACAUGUUAUGUACAACACCUACUGGCUUUUUUAUAGAUAAAUCAAUCAUUAACAACCUUUCUGAGAUAGGUUUGAGUUUGCCUAUACCUAAUACCUUGUAUAUCCCUAAUGGAAUUAUAUUUAUUCAUUCUUCCAUAUCAUAUAGAGCCUGAUUAAUCUCAUAAGUCCUAAUGGAACAUAGGAUAUUGACUGCAUCUGGAUCCCCUUUCUUUUAUCCCAAUGGUCCAUAAAAAUAUGAGCUAAACUAUUGCACUAUAUUAUGGAGUUCUUCUGUAACCUAGUCAUUAUCUUAAUCACUAUAGAAAUAAUCAUCACCAUAAGUUAGCUUCUCAAACUCUACCUCAGAUAGCUCAUCAGCAACAACAUCCUUCUUUUUCAGUACAUCAGUAGUAGUUGAAAAAGGUUGAUCAGGUAAGGGGUCAUCCCUAGUGUCAAUGGUUCUAUAAUGAACAAGUGUAGGAGGAUUCUACAUAGUGUCACAAGUAAAUGCUCCUGACUGCCUCUCAGCUAAAGUAACAGAGAUUUUCCCAUAUUGCUACUCUAACUAUUUGAUAGUAGUUGUAUAUGACUCAACCUUUUGGGCUAAUCCUGAAAUAUUAGCCUUAAGUUCCUUGAGAUAAAUCUCUUAGCUCUCUUGAAACUUCAUUAGCUUGGUCAACAUUUCUUCUAUUUUUGAUUCUAUAUCUCAUCUACUAGGUAAAAUGUACUUAUCUUUCUUCUCAUAAUAGUCUGACCUUUAAUCCCUUGCUCUUAGGCUCGGAAACUCGCCAACUAACGAUCCACAUACUUUGCCUCCUCUACUGAGUCAAACUCAUGUAUCUUAUAAGAAUUUACUAUUGUAAAUUAUUUGGUUAAUUCACCAUUAUCCAUCUGUAAUAGUUAAAUCUCUUGAGGUACAACAUCCUUAAUUCUUUUUUGAUCACCGGAAGCUUCAAUGGGCAUAAAUAUCAGAACCUCUCUCAACUUCCUCAGUUUUCCACCCUCAGUUAGUUAAUGAGAUCUGAUCCAUAAUAUUCAAAGAUAUCUCCCAUGGUAAUCUCAGAAAGGCUCCUCCAAAGAUAGUGUAUGCCAUCACUUUGGAAUUGAUUGUCAGGGCUCUAUAGAAUAUCUCUGACAGGCUUUUCUAUGAUAUAGGGUGGUUGGACACUAUGAUAAUCUUAUUCUUGAACUUGAACCAUGCCUCAUACAUAGACUCUGACUAACUGCAUAAAAUUAUAAAUCUCUUCCUUGAGUUGUAAUACCCUGAAUAAAGGAAAGAACCUGUUCAAGAACUAUCUGUGUAGCUUAAUCCAAGUAGUAAUAGAACCUCUUGGAAGUUCCCCUAGCAAUAAUGAUGCUUCUCCAGUAAGUGAGAAAGAAAACAACCUCAGUCUCAGUGCCUCCUGAUCUACCCCAAGUAUGGUAUAUGAAGUGCAGAUCCCAAUAAAUUUGUUAGAUUCAUGUUUGCGUCGUCUGUAGGCAACCCUACAAACACACCCUUCAAGUAUAAGAGCUGGAUCAUAGAACUAUAAAUAUUGAACUUAACAUUGGGAGGUAAUAUAAAAGGGAUAAUGGCUCCAGUUUCUGCUGUCUCAACGAAUCCCAUAUCUUCUUCAUCAUUAAUAUACGACUGCAUAUACUGAUAUGUUGGGAUGGCUUAAGGUUGACCUCUUCAAAAUCUAUCCUAAUUUUCACCGAGUAUUUCUAGGCAGUCUGCUACCUGUCUCUUAUUAGCUAACUCUAUCUGAGCUAAUAUUUUAUUAGUUUGUCUAUCAACAACCUCCUAAACUCCUUCUUAAGAGAGAUUGUCCUUCUUCAGCUCUCAUAUCUUACUAUAUAAUUGUAGGAUCUUCUCUAAAAUUAGUGGGAGUAAGGGAUUACCUCUACUCUAUGUGAUAGGAAUACACUGGUAUAUUCCCAACUCAAAAAAAAAAUAAAAACCCAAAAACUACAAACAACUUCAAAUCGCAAAUCAACAUUGUGUUCCCUGGCAACAACGCUAAUUUCUUGAUGACAUCCAAGCAAUAUCUCCUUUUAGAUGAUGAUACGGUCACUGUCAAGAUAUAGUAAUCAAGUUGGGGUCAAAUCCUAAGUAAAUAUAUGGCUUUGUAAAUCUUAGCAGUUGUAGUCAACAAGUAGAACAAGAAGAGUAAAUGGGGAAUUGUUUGUAGUAAUCUUGAGCAAAGAAUAGUAUUAACUAUAAUUGUAUUCAGUAUAGGUGAACACUAGGAUUGCGUUCCCCUUAGAUUCUCAAAUUUGUAGGUUUAUCAUGCAUUGUUGAACCAACUCACUACCUUGAAUGUAGAACUAAUAUAUUAUGUACCUUUCAAUAGUCUUUUGGACUAGUAGAAGGAUUUCACUCUUACCUUUUGAGUCUUAAGAUGUCGCAUUACUAACCCUUAUCUUGAUCCCAAUUAACUAUUACCUUUUGAGUCUCUAGUAUUUAGAUUAAAGCUAAACAUCUUAUGUAAAUAUUACCUAUUAGCAUAGAUCGAUAGUUAAACCUCAAAUUACUAUUGUCAUUAUCUUUUCAUAGUCACUACUUCUCUUUUGGAGUAAUUAGCAAUAAUUUAGGUAGGAUCUUAACAUUUUCAACCGCUAAGAAAUCUAUUAAAGUGAAGAUAAUGCAAUGCAUUCCAUGGGUAUUUAUUUAAUUCCUCAAGAUAAGACAAUACAAUCUCAAGAUCAAAAUUGGAUCUUGAAAUCAAAAUAUGUUUGUCAGUUUCAAAAGUGUGUAAAUCUGACUAAAAAGUAUAUAAAGGGUAUUUAUAGUAUAAGAGGAAACCCUAAAACCAAUGCCUAAAUAAAAUAAGAGAAAACUAGGAUGGUGGCUACCUGCUCUCUAUACCUACGGUCUGGCAUAGGGCAUAGGCCGUACCAACAGUCCUAAUAUUAGGCAUAAGUGCAGACCAUAAGUGCAACUCCUGCAGCCUAGCUCUCAAGAUUUCAAUCUCUGUCCACCUACAGUCCAUAGGUCCUACAUGCAGUCUGUAGGUUGCUUUGGUAGGUGUUAGGAGUCAUCUUUUUAGCUCUUUUAAACUUUUGAAACAUGCUUUGAUCACGAACAAGCCGGAAAACAUCUUGAAUAUCCAUAAUUACCCGAAAGAGUGGCCAAAAAUACUUUUUUGACCUUUUCAUGAACUUAACAUCCAAAACAUGAUUUCUUACAAAACAUACCUAAAAUGGAUCAUAUCUAACAAAAUAGCCUAAAAAACAUGCAUAUUUUCUUAGUUUUAAGCAUCAAAAGUGCUAGAUUUCAAUAGCACAUCAACAACUCCUUUUAUAAUUAGAGGGUACUACCUUUCAAGAUAACUAAUCAGGUUUGGUUGCGUUCUUAUCUGACCGAGUUAGCUAGCCCAUUGUUAAGGGCGUAUGUAGUUGAAAAACUAAGAGAGAAUGAGAAUCACAAUGUAGAAGAAAAACAAGAACAAAAAGAUAUGUUUGAUGAUAAAUUGGAUGAUAUGGAAAUAAAUAUUCUACAUGAUGAUGAGAGUAGUGGAGAUCAAGUGAGGAAGGAUGAUCAAACACCUGCGUCCAUUGUUGCAAGCAAUAUUGUGGGUGGUUCUUCUCAAUCAAUGUAGUUGGGAAAUCGUAAAGAUGAUGAGACUGGUAAUUUCAAGGGAAUGGCAUUCAAGAAUAAAGAUGAAAUAACUACUUCUUUGUAUAUUGCUUGCUUGAAAAAUAAUUUGUACUAAAGAAUGUGAUUAAUUCAAGAAAUAUCUAUUAUUUUAGAUGUUCUAAUCCAAAUUGCAAGUGGUGGUUGAGGGCUGUGAAAUACUUAAGUUCUAACAGAUUCAUCAUUAAUGUUUAUGAAAAGUAUCACACAUGUGGUUUAGAGCAUGUUAUGAGUCAUAAUCCUCAUUCCAUGGCAAAGGUCCUCGAUAAAUAUUUCAAAAAUAUAUUCCCUAAUCGAAAAGCCCCUUCUACAGGUGAUAUGACUAAUCAAUUUCGUACAGAAUUCGAUGUUGUGAUCAGUUAUUGAAAGAUUUAUAUGGCCAUGGGGAUUGCCAAGGACUUGGUCAGGGGGGUACAUGAGCACGGGUAUGCAGUCUUGAGUCCACAUAUCCCAAAAGUAAGACGACAUUGCAUGUUGAUGAAACUGGAAGGUUAAAGUAUUUUGUUGUAUCCUAUGGUGCUUGGAUUAUUAGUUUUAAACAACUGAGAAAAGUCAUAUCCAUCGAUGGGAAUUUCCUAAGGAGCAAGUAUAAUAGAGUUUUUAUAUCAGUGGUGGCACAGGUUGCCCAAGAGUCAUAUCUUUCCUAUCCAUUUUUGUGUUAUGGACAGGGACUAUGAUGUAUCAUAUGCAAAUUUUUUUUGAACGAAUACAAAGUUGUGGAGACAAUAUCAAAGAGUUGUGUAUAAUUUUGGAUAGGCAUCCAAGUAUCCAAAAUAUAGGUUCAAUUUUCUUCACUUCAGCUCACUUUAGUUGUUGCAUGAGGCAUCUUGAAGAACAUAUUCAAAACAACUUUCAUAAUGAAAGGGUCGUGACUCAUUUUUAUAGAGUAGCUAAAGCAUAUAAUAGAACUAAUUUUUUUGACCAUUUUUAUCAAAUAAGGGAUAUGCAUCCUAAGGCAGCACAACAUCUCAAAUAUAUCAAUUUUGAGAAAUAGAGCCGGGCAUUUUGUCCGGCAAAUAGGUAUAUGAUUAUGAAUUUAAUUUCUUGAUUGAGUUACAACUUUGUAAUACUGUAUGAUGUCAUACUAAGUGAUUAUAAUAUUAUGACAUCAAAUAUAAUUGAAUCAUCAAAUUCAAUGUUUGGCAUUGAAAAAGAAUUUCCCAUAUGGCGAUAUUUAAUGAAAUAAACUAGAGGUAUGCCCAAUUAUUCAUGAAUGGUGUAUGAAAUUAGUGAACAAAAUCAAUAAACUUGUUCUAAAAGUGGAAAAACAAAUAUCAACAAACAUCAGUUUGGAAAAUGUUAUUUGCCCAUCAAAUAGCAAAUUACAAGUUCAGUAUUGAUAGUCAUGGUGAUGUUGCCACGACCUAUCUUUAAUGAAGAUCUUGUAUAUUUAGAGUUUUUAACUUGGACAAAAUACCUUGUCCACAUGCUAUAGUAGUGCUUCGAGCCUAACAUGGUGCACAAUAUGGAACUCAAAUUUAUGAAAAAUAAUCUUCAUAUUAUUUGGUGAAAAGAUAUAAUGGCAUAUAGUGAGAAUAUUAAUCCGGUGCCUCCUAAAGUGAAACUUCUAGGCUUUAAACCAUAAGAAAAUUCCUUUAUUUGAUGUCUCUUUUCUAGGUAUGACUAAGGGUACCACUGUACCCAUAGGAUACGAGUUAUAGACCUCCUCUCAUAUCCUAGGCAAUAUGGUGAGGGUUACUCAGUGUCCUAGGUACGAGUUAGGCCCCCGCAUCAUACACUAAGGUAUGAGUUGUACCCAAUAUAGUCAUAUAGAGAGGUGUCUUGGACUAGAAGUAGACUAUUUUUUGUAUAAGUGAUGUGUACAGUUUAGGUCAUAAGUCAUACGCUUUGGAUACAACUCAAAGGUGUGUAGUCAUACCCUAACCGAUAUUGAUAACCUAAGAGAAGCAUAGGGUAUGAGUUAGGAUACCACUCAUAUCCUAGGGUACGAUUGGCUUAAGUGAGUCGUACCCCCCUUGAAGGCCACUUUUUAGCUUUUAAGUCAAGGGUUCAUGGUCAUUUCCCAUCCCAAAACCCUUAAUUCCCUUCAUUAUAUAUGGAAUUUUUGCCUCCUAAACUCUCAUUUACAAGACUUAAACAUUUCAAAAUACUCUCAAAGCUUCUUAAAACACGAUUGAAGGAGAGGGUUUGGAGGGCGUUUAUCUAGAAGCAAAGAAGAGUCAAGUUCCUUUGGGUAAUCAAGUUGUCUAAGGCAUGUAACUCUUUACCUAGUUUUAACUCAAUCACCAUGUGUUUUAGACAUGUAUUAAUACUUGUAAAUGAUGAUUUUGAAAUCAAAAUAUUAAGGGUUUGAUGGCUAGUGAUGAGUUAUGUGUGUUCUUACUUAGACUUAUGUUUAUACAUGAUAUUGUUGAUGUUUUGUACAUGUGGGUGCUUGUCGUAUGUAGUUGUGGAUCUGAAGUAAUACUAAUCUUGAUGAUUUCUAUCUUGAAAUUGGCCUUGGUAAGGACAUAUACACAAGGUGUUUGUGAAAAUGUCUAAGUGAAUUAUCUAGUCACAUGGUUGGAAUGUUUUAAACUAGGAAAAUGGCUCAAUAAGUAUGAAUGAUUGAUAAAUGAUUUUGUAAAGGUAUUGUGGGCCAUGUAUUGUGUAAUUGAUGACCUUGUUGGUUUGAUGGCUAGUAAAAAGUUAAAAUCCCUAGACAUCAAAUUGUACUUAAAUUGUAUGUUGAACCAAGUGUGGUAAGAAUGUGGUAUAAUAUUGCUAGUAAAGUGUGAAUGGCUUGUAAGGGUCUUGAUGACCAUAAACUAAAUUGUAUGAUGAAUUGAAUUAAGCCAUUGGCCUAUUCAAUUGUUUAAGCAGCAAAGGCUCCCAUAAAUACCUUGUAGUUAUGAAUGGUGUUGAAUUAGUUGAAUAGGUUAAAGUCCUUAAGUGUUAAUUGAAUAGAUAAUGAUGUAUGAACAAAGGGUUAAACUCCUAAUGUCAACUAUGGUAGUUGUAAUGGCUUGUGGUUAAAGUCCCUUACCUACUAAUGUUGCUUAUGGUUAAUGUCCCUUGCUUAAAUAGAAUGGCUAGUGGUUAAAGUCCCUUGACAAUUAAUGUGUCUUAUGGUUAAAGUCUCUUGCUUAAAUUAAAUGUCAUGUUGUUAGAUUCCCUUGCCUAACAAAUAUGUCGGCUUGGGUUAGAGUCCUUUAUUUACUAUGGUUUGAGGUUAGAGACCGUAUCCAAAUAUAGUUACAUGAGGUAAAAGUCCCUUUCUCAUUGAGUGUGUAUAUGGUUAAAGUCACUUUGUCAAAUGAUGAUUGUGUAUCUAUAAGUGUGGAUGGUCGGAGUCCUCUACUUUAUCAAUGAUGAAUGAGUGCUUCAAGAGUGUUGAUAAGACUGUUCCCUUAUAUGACAUAUGAUAUACCUAUAUUUAUGGAUAAGUGGAUUAAUGUGAUUGAAUAUAAUAUAUUGACCUAUGUUAAAUGAAAAUAUUAUUUUAUACAUAUCCUUGAGUUAUAUGCCAGUGCUCCAACCGCUAACCAUCUCUGAAUGCUAUGUCCCUACAUGACAUAGGGGCUGGAACAUCGUCUUUUUUUCCUGUGCAGUGAUUAGACAAUUGAAAUGAUUCAUACCUUGAAUUUGGAGUGGUGAGCAUCGUUACUUUAGAAUAUAUUCAUUCUAGGUCUCUUAUCUUUAGACUUAAUCUUAUUCAAACCUUGUUUGGCUUUUGGUGGGAGCUUGUUCCAACAUAUACAUUUCUAUACAUCAUUUUGUAUAGAGGUAUUAUGGAUCAAUGUGGACUUGGGUAUAUUGACUAGUAUGUUGAUAUAUAUGAAUUUUUUAGACAUUAUUAAGUUAUUAUUUCUGCUAUUGUGAUUAUCUAGUAGGGAAUCACUCAACUCUUGUGGUUAAUGUUAUGAUUAGGUUGAGUUGAUGGGGAAACCUCUGGUUUAUGUUGGGCCUGAGGUGCCCAUACGACAUGGCCUAUUUUCUGGUCGUGUUAAGUUGGUAUCAGAGCCUAGGUUCAUGUAGGUUGGGUGUCUAUAAUGUCGUGUUAAGUAGAGUCUAUUUUAUGGGUGUGAAGUUUUCCACACUUAAAAGAGAGGGGCUACGAGACAUUCUAGGAAAUGUUUCCCUUUCUUGUGUUUCUAUCUCAAGAUAUUGAGUUUAAGGCCUUGGAUUCCUCUGAUUUCUAUUUGCUAUCUUUUAGAUCAUGCUUCCGAGAAGAUCUGAUACCCAGUCAAACCCUUCUAUGGUCCCUAUGGAUGAAUCUCAUACAACUUUUGGGGUCCAGACCUGGGCUAGGGUUACUACUUCUGACCAUCCUUGUGGGGUUCUAUCGGUCCCUAGUAACCCUACUUAUGAGGGUGACACUCCUACUCAGUCACCACCUACGGAUGCUUCUAAUAUUGAGUUUCAUCGCUCUAUUAACCUAUUGCUCAAUUGGUUGCUUUUCAUUUGGAGAGUGGUGCUCCGGCUACUAUUUAUUUUGAGGCCAAAAGAGUUGGCCAAUUUAUGAGGUUGAUCCCUCUUAUGUUUUGGGUAUGAAGGUUAAAAAGGAUCUUCAAGGAUUCAUCAAUAAAAUAGAGAAGAUCUUCUAAAUCAUGUAUGCUUUAGAGGUUGAGGCCAUUGAGUUUGGUUCCUACCAAUUGAAGGAUAUAGAAUACCAAUAGUAUGAAGGAUGGGAGUUGUAUAGAGGUAUGGAUGCUAGUGCUGCCACGUGGGAGGAUUUCUCUGAGGCCUUCUUAGAUCACUUUUUUCCUCAAGAGUUGAUGGAAGCUAAGGAAGAAGAGUUUCUAAACUUGAAGAAAAGGACGAUGUCUACUCAGGAGUAUGCCUUGAGAUUCCAUCAGUUGUCAAGGUAUGCUCUCGAGAUGGUUUCUAGUAUAAGGGCUAGAAUGCAUAAGUUUGUUUUGGACUGUCCUGAGAGUUGGUAAUUGAGUGUAAGACAGCUUUGUUGAUUAAAAAUAUGGACAUAUCUAGGUUGAUUGUGUAUAUGAAACAAGUGGAAGAAGAUAAAAAAGGCAAGUUCAGUUUAGUGAAAGGCAAGGGAAGAAAUCUAGGCCAAUCGAGCAAAGUGGUAGAGAUGAUGGCAAGUGGCCAUGAAAUAAGUGGGAGAGUUAAGGUUUUAUCUUAUCGGCUAGUUCUCACUCUUCUUACCCAAUGUUGUUGGGUGAUAAUCGAUCUCAGUUUAGUGGUGGGUCCUAGGCACAAAGUGCCUAAUUCCAGACUAUUGGUGCUCAGUCGGCUCCACUCUACCCUCCUUGCAGAUUUUAUGGUUAGAGUCAUCAUUAUCAGUGUAAGAAGGUGAGAAAGAGAUGUUUUAGUUGUUGUUAUAUUGGGAAAAUGCAGCAUAAGUGCCCCUCUCUAGCAGCUUCUUCGGCCAACAAGGCCCCUAUUGCUACUUUCUCUUCUCCAACACCAAAGAUUGUUGUCUCUACUUCUACUUUUAUUUUUAGCAGUGAAACUGGACGAAAACACUUGUAUGCACUUCAUAUUCACAAGAAUUUUGAGGCAUCUCUCGAUGUUUUCACGAGUAUGUUAAAACUUUUCUUUUGUGAUGUAUUAUUUGCUUGAUCCAGGGUCUACUCUUUUCUAUGUGACUUUGUAUGUGGUUGUACAUAUUGAUUUUGGUCUCGAUAGUUUGUUGGUUUCUUUUUUUGUUGCUACCUAGGUAAGAGACUUUGUGGUUGUUAAAAAGGUCUAUAGAGGUGUGUGGUAGCUGUUAGUGGUAAAAAACUCUUGUAGACUUCAUAGAGUUGGACAUAGUUGAUUUUGAUGUUAUUCUGAGGAUGGAUUAGUUGCACUCGUGCUAUGCUUCCUUAGAUUGUCAGACCUGUAGGGUCAUGUUUAAAUUCCCUAAUGAGCCGGUCAUUAUCUAGGAAGGCGGUUUUUUAGUGCCUAAGGGAAGAUUCAUUUCAUAUCAUAUAGCCCAAAAGUUGAUUUUAAAGGGGUGUUUAUAUUAUUUGAUCCAAGUUAAAAAGUUCUAACUCGGAAGAGCCUUCUCUAGAAUCUGUUUCCUUGGUGUUUCUUGAUGAUCUUCCUGGUAUUUCUCCCAAUAAGGAAAUUGAUUUUGGGAUUGGUCUUGUUCCAGACACUUGUCCGAUUUCUAUCCCUUCUUAUAGAAUGGAUCCAAUGGAAUUGAAAGAACUUGAGAAAUUCAAAGACCUCUUAGAUAAAGGCUUUAUUUGUCGUAGUGUAUCUCCUUAGGGUGCUCCCAUAUUGUUUGUGCAUAAGAAGGAUGGUUCCCUUCAUAUGUGCAUUGAUUAUCACCAGUUGAACAAAGUGACCAUAAAAAAUAGAUACCCUCUUCCUAGGAUAGACGAUUUAUUUGAUCAACUUCCAGGUGAAAAGUGUUUCUCUAAGAUUGAUCUUAGAUCGAGUUAUCAUCAGCUUAAAAUUAGGUAGGCGGAUAUCCCUAAGACUACUUUUAGAACUCGGUAUGGUCACUAUGAGUUUCUAGUCAUGUCCUUUGGGUUAACCAGUGCCCCAGUGACAUUCAUGGAUUUGAUGAAUAGGGUCUUUCAUCCGUUCUUAGACAUGUUUAUUAUUUUCUUGAUUGAUGAUAUCGCAAACUUUGAAGGAUCAUUGUUUAGAUGCCAAUUUCUGUAAAUGUGAGUUUCGGUUGAAAUCCAUAGCUUUUCAUGGUCAUGUUAUCUCUAGUGAAGGGAUCAUGGUAGAUCCUCAAAUGGUUGGAAUGGUUUAGAAGUGGCGUAGAACCGCGACUCCAACCGAUAUUCAGAGCUUUUUGGAUUUAGCCGGUUACUAUAGAAGAUUCAUGGAGAGAUUUUUGACUAUAGCUACCCCAUUGACCUAUUUGACCCAAAAGAAGGUCAAGUUUUUGUGGUCGGAUACGUGUGAGGGUAGUUUUGAGAAGUUGAAAGAUAAAUUGACUUUGGCUCUAGUUUUGACCUUUCCUAAAGGUAAUGAUGGUUUUGUGAUAUAUUUUGAUGCUUCUCGCAUUGAGAUUAGUUGUGUAUUGAUGAAACAUGGUAGAGUGGUGGCCUAUGCUUCUAGGAAAUUGAAAUUUCAAGAGAAGAACAACCCUACUCAUGACUUGGAAUUGCUAGUAGUGGUUUUGCUUUAAAGAAUUGGCGACAUUAUCGAUACUACUAGCAUUUUUGGGAUAGACUUUAACCGCUAUUCCUACGUGUCCAAACUCUAAUCCAUGAUUUAUCUUUGAAUACAAGUGUCAUGAUCUUUAUCCUAGUGUGUAAAGUUCUUAUGAGGUAAAAAAUAUUCAUAGGAAUCACUUAGAACAAUGUUGUGCUUAGAGCCUUUGAUUCGUCCAAAGUUUGGUAUUCGAUUCUCAAGGGUCAAAUUUGAAUGUGUAUAAAUUUUUAUAUAUGUGGAAUUUUGCAGCUCAAAACCCACCAAAUGAUAGAUAAUUAAGCUAUCUUUCCAAUGAUAACAAUUUCUCUUUAAUUCGAUAGCCAAGAAAAAACUUAUGCCCCUUUUCGUGAGAGACAGUAAGGGGUUGAGAUAGCCCUGCAUCGUGAGGGCUAUUCCACUUAAUUAGGGGUCGCAUCGUAAGGGCAGUUUAACUAGACUAUGGGUCGCGCCGCGAGGGCUAUAUCCCCACUGUUUUAGCUUCUUAAGGGUCAAAGGGCACUUUGGUCCUUUCCCCUCAACCCCAAACAUCCAAGGCACGAAUUAAAACCCCCAAAAGGGCACUAGUUGCCUAUAUUCUUCAAAGAAACUCACAUAAAAACCCUCUCCUUUUACCCAUGAAUAAAUUUCAAGUUUCUCCUCUCAAGAACACAAGGUAUUCAAGCUUCAAUUUCAAGAUUUCUUCAAUAAUUUGUCAACUAAGGUAUGUGGAGUUUAUGAACAAGGAUCUUCUCUCAUCCUUGUUCCCAAAACUUUCUUUAACAAUUAAAGUUCAUGAUUUGCAGUUAGGGUUCAUACCCAAUUAGCCAUAUUCUUUAAUUUUGAUAUUUCCAUGAGAUUAAAGGCUUUAAGUGCAUCAAGAUUUACUUAUAUCCAUGUUUCCUCACGAAUUUUACAUUCAAGCCAUGUUAUUAGCUUAACAAUGUAAAAUAUGAUUCUAUGUGAUUCAAACCCCAAACUUACAUGUCAUGAUUUGUCAAUGCCAAGUUAAAUUGUUAAGCUCAUGUAUUUAUCCCUGUUAACAUGAUCCCAUUUUCAAGUUCACUUACUUCCAUAUUAUAAGUCAUGAGAUUAUCAGUUAUUUAAAUGCAUUAUGUUUUGGUGUCACCAAAUUAAGACUUCCUAUGAAUAUUUUAGAUGAUUUUUUCAUAUUUAAAGUGUCAUUCAGUACUGGCAGGUUACGAACACUUGAUACCUAUGUGUUUUUACAUGAUUUUAGAUUUUCGAGUAAUAACUCAGUUAAACCAUGUCUUAUUGUUAUACUCAGCUUUUCUGCUCAUGUCCAGCACUGUUAGUUUAUAGUUUUAUGAUUACUUCAGACUCUAUAUGCACUGAUGUUUUCAAAACACCAUGACCUAAGAUUAUUUUAUCAACUUUAGUGUAUGCACCCAUUUAUGAUUUUAGUGUCAGUUAAGUUGGGAGUAGGAUUUUACACCGAGAGAACCUAGGGAUGGGGGCUCACCCAUCAAUUAGGACUAGGUCCUUAGUAGCAGUCCCUAGGUUUCAAAACUAUGUAACCAGCAUAGGAUUUUAAAAUGUCACCUGCUAGUUUAAGAAUGACACUCUCUUAGGGGUCACCCACCAAUUUAAGACUGACUCUCUAAUCGUUUAGGCCACCAAAUUAAUCUAUCUAGACAACCAGUGUUAGUACCAGUGUCAUGGUACUAACACCCUUCCAACUGGGGUUACAGGUUGGACCCCGAUUAGCUUAGAUUGGAGCAUGUCAGUUAGAUGAUACCUCCCACAUUCUCAGUCAAUAUUUAGUGUAUCUCAAAUCAGGUUUGCUUGCCCAAGUCUUAGAUUUCUAGUUAUUCAGUUAUACAGAUUUCAGUCUUUCAAAUUAUAGAUUAUCUUGUAAAUAUGUUUAUGCUUGGUCUUGCAUUCUCAGUUUUACAUGUUCAUAUUUUUAUAUUUAGUAUCCAUAAAAGAUCCACAGUUCAGUUUUACAUGAUUAGUAUUCAGAUAUUAGUUAGCCAAUUUUAAUAUAUCAAGUACUUAGUAUAUGGACAUUAGUUGCCCAUUUACUUAGAUUCCAGUCAUUCAGUUAAUCAGGCAUCGACCAUUCAGUUAAUCAGAUCCUCUUAGUCUAUGUUAUGUUUGGUUUGCCAAUUUUAAUAUAUCAACUACUUAGUAUAUGGACAUUAGUUGUCCAUUUACUUAGAUUCUAGUCGUUCAAUCAAUCAGGCAUCAACCAUUCAGUUAAUCAGAUCCUCUUAGUCUAUGUUAUGUUUGGUUUGUAUGCUUAUUCAUUCAUGCUCAAUAUAUUUAUAUAUUUUGAUCUUUGAGUUAUGUUAGUUUCCAUCAUGUAGUUUUAGACCCAGUAUUCAUACAAUAUUCAUGUUUUUACCGCUUUCCAGCUUCAGUUCUACUUAUUCUACAAAAAUAAAUCUUUAAGAAACUAAGUGUAGUGAUUCACUAGCUUAUUAGAUUAUGUUUGUUACUUAUAUUUUAAGAUACUUCAGCUUUCAGUUUAGUUCAGUCUCUUGGUGAGUCUACUUGCACUUAGCAUAUAUGUUUUAAGAUUAUGUUCCUAAUCACUUUUACUUAUUGAAUUUACCCCCACUUACUGAGUACUUUCUAUAAGUACUGAUCCACAUAUAUGGCUAUGUCCUACAUUUUCUUAUAAUGUAGGUACCAGUGUAGACUACACAUCAUAAUCGUGCAGUUUACAGCUUCCAGUCAGCAGGUGAUCAGUUCUUCUAUUUUGGGGACUCCAGUUAGAUGUUGUUCAUAUACUUUAUUUUUAUUAUUCAUAUAUAUUGAGUAGUGGUAGUUUGAGGCAUGUCCCAGUUAUCUAUAGUCAGUAUAGUAGAGGCUUCAUAGUUCGUCCAUCGGAGUUAUUAAAUGUAAGUUCCAGUUCUCUAUUUAGUUUUAUUAGGUUGUAAACUUUAUCAAUAUUUUAGUUAUACAGAUUAUGUCAUGAUUAUGUUUCCUCGCAACAAAUUUAGCUAAUUUAUAUAUUCUAAAUCAGCUGUUCAAGUAUCAUUCCAGUUCAUGGGUUAGCUUUUCAUUAUUGUGGUUCUAAGCACCAUGUUAUGAGUAGAGGGUAGCCUCGGGUCAUGACAAAACUUGGUAUCAGAGCACAGAUUUCAAGUAUCUAGGGUUUCUAUGAAGUCAUGUCUAGUAGAGUCUUGCAGAAUGGUAUGAAGACGUCUGUAAUUUUCUUCAAAAGUUAAUAAGGCAUUUAAUAAAUAUUUCCCCUCUUUUAUGUCUCACAUCGUUCUGUAGAAAAGAUUCUCUAAGAAACUUAUACAGAUUUUCAUCAUGCGUAAUCCAUGUACACUCUACCUUAUUUUCAAAGUAAUAGAAAUAGUGAAGAUCAAAUUCCUACAGAUAGAGCUUUCUCAGACAGUCCCCACAGACAGUUAUUGGAGUGCACACAGGGUUAAAAGUAUCCCAUCAGUGCUUUUAAGUUUUGAAGUUUGAAGGACUUCAUUUAUGUUCAUGAAAAAUCGUGCACUAAGCCAGAGUUUGAUGUGCCCUCAAAUCCCUUCUCAGAGUCCUUUGACAUACUAUGGUUUAGAGGUAGAAGCAUGAACCUAAAAGUUUAGCAACAGUAAAGUGGGGAUAGUGUUAUCUGAAUUUAGUAGAUUAUGUAUCCAUGGAGCUAGUUUUAUGAAGGGUGAAUCAAUUGGCUUGAAAUAGUGCAUAUAAGAAUUUGAGUUUGUUGAUUCGAAAUAUAGUAUGAUAAUGUUAGGUAUAUUGGCAUAGUGGUAAUUCUCAUGGUCUAGGGAAAAAUAUAAGUUUAGAGGUGUGAUAUUAGUAGGCUAUGAAGGAAAAGAAGAAGAUUAUGUGUUUCGUGAGGCAAGUAUGUUGUUGAGAAGGGUGUAUGCAUGUGAUGAUGAUUUCCAAAGCUAAAGGUAGGAUAUAUUAAAGGAUUGUUCAAGAAUGAAGUUAGUAUAGUUCAUUAAAAGAUUGGGGAUAUCCAUGUUAAGUGUUAGAAUUUAAGUUUGAAUCUUGGUUAAAUGAACUAAUAAAAAAAAGAGAUGAAAUUCUAGAUGGUGUGAAUUCAGAAUAUGGUGAUGCUCUCGAAGAUUCUAUUCUAAGAUAGUAAGUGUUUAAGUUAUUAUUUGAUGACUAUUGGGCUAUAGAAAGUUGAGAUAUGUAUCUCAGAAUAAAGUACUAGUGGUGUGUUACACUUUCUGGUGCAGUCUUUAAAGGUGAGUUUAGUAUUCAUGUGUAUUAUUAUAUCUUUGACUCUAGUGUAGAGUGGUUGUAGUCUAUUUUAGAUUUUAUUAAAGAGUUCCACAGACUUAGAAUGAUAGCUUUAAGCUAAGGGGGAGAUGAUAGAACAAGAAACCAAGUUAGGCUUUUAGAGUCUAGUAGUGAUACUAGUAUGUUGUAAAACAACAGUAAACAACGAAGAUGCGCGACCCAUUCUUAUCUCAGUGCAAGGUUUUGUACUUUAGUCAUCACGAAAUCUACUCACGCCUUACAUGUUAGCUCUAUGAUCAUAGCUCAUAUUCAUGCACUUUCCAUAGAAUCAUGUAUGCUUCUAUAUCAUUGUAUGAGGAGUUCCAGUUCACUCAGCAGUGCGAAUUAUAUUCCCUAAAAUUAUGAACUCCAAACUCAGGUCAUGCAACUUAUGACUCAUGUACUCCUGCUUUACAAUAUACUCAAUUCCCAUAACUCACGGUGCACUCAUAAUGACCUGCAAAAUUCAGAUUAUGUCAUGUAUGUCCUUAGUUUUAAUCUCUUUAAUGAAUUCAUGCUUUUGAUAUUCUAUUCCUCUAGCUUUAAUUAAGUGUCGAAGUCAUGCAUAGUACUCUUUCAUGCUUCAGGAUCUCAUGUUGUAAUCUUUCAGUUACCUCUCCUUAUGUAAUGAUAGUGGUGAAGAGUAAUUAAUUAGAUAGGAGAGAGUAAAUGUUUCAUAUUGGGGAAAGAUUGUAACAUGCUUAUUGUAUCUUAGACUAUAAGUGUGAAGAAUGAUUGAGGUAGAACUUUCGAUAUGUGCCAUGGUUAGUUGAAAUUUUAUGUGUAUUUUCUUGGGGAUAGUGCAUGAAAGUUGUUAUUGAUAGAGGUUUAGACAAUAUGAGAAAGAUUCUUUUAUGGGUGUUUGCCUAGAAGUUCGUAUGUGGUUGUAAUGAUAGGCCUGAAUGCCAUGUUGGUAUAUAAGUGGAUUGAUGCAUUGUGUGCUAGCGACUUCCUAGUAAGAGGUUGAAUUAAGUUGUUGAAGUGGUAAGAAGAAUUAUUCUUGAGAUGAGAAUUUGUGAAACACGCAUGUGGUAUUGAAUUCAUGGUUCAGAUUAUUGUUAUGGUGUUAUGUGUAGUACUUUGAAAUUUCAAGUUAGGCUUGAACAUGGAGAGAGUAUGUAGUUCAACUUAGACUUUGGCGGGAAUGGUUAUAUGUAUCCAUGUUAGAGUUAUAUGUUGAAUCAAACAAGCCUAGUAUUUAAGAGAGAAAACAUAGUAGAGAGAUUAUUUGAGAAGUCUGGCUAAGCAUUAAAUUUAGAAGUUGCCUUUCCUAAGGCAUAGUAAUUGUAUCCUAGCCAUUGUUUUAUAGUCCUAUGUUCCAUGAUUAUAGAGUUAUAGCCGUGUUGCGAUUUUAUUGAUAUCAUGACAAGAACUCUUUGCUCCCUAAUGUUAUUAGAACUUCUUAGAAAAGUGCUAUAUAAAUACUCCAGUUGAGUAUAAGCUUUCAGUAUAAUUCAGCCCGUAUAGCUAGCAAUUCAGUUUAAAUCAGAUAAGAUAAGAUCACAUAGCUUCCCUUCUUUCUAUGUAGUCUUCCUAUCCAAAGUUUCAUAAAUAUGCCUAUUCCAUGAGGUAAUUGAUUCACAUCCAUGCAAGUUGUGAAUUUAAUUCAGUCCAUGCAUCACGUUUCAGAUUUAGAUAUGUAGUCAUGAUUCAAUUCUUAAGUGUUUAGUGAAUGACCUCAGUUUUCCAUGUAUUUCAGCGCAAACAGUGUAAUACCUCUUGCAUGAUCUUAGUCUCGUUAUCUCAUGAUUUGUGAUUACAUAAGUUAUCACCUCACUAUUCUAUGUGCAUGAUUGUAUCAUGAACCUUUCAAGUGAGUUCUAGACUCUCAGCACGAAUCAUCUUCUUAUAGUAAAUAUAGUCAAGUCAGCUCAGAAAUCAAUUUCAUGAUUAAAGUUCUAAUGUUUUAGAUCAUCUAUAUCCUUCAUAACCAGACAUGUCAUGUGUACAUCAUUCCACACUUAUAAAACUUCAACAAGUUCCUAUCCUUCAUUUGAGGAUGAAUGAUUCCAAGGGGGAGAUAAUGUAACACCCUAUAUUUUUGGGCUAGACUUUGAACCCUCGUUCCUACGUGUGUAAGCUCUAAUACCAUGAUUUAUAUUUGAAUACAUGUGUCAUGAUCUUUAUCCUAGUGUGUGAAGUGAUUAUGAGGGGAAAAAUGUUCUUAGUAAUCACUUAGAACAAAAUUGAGCUAAGAGCCUUUGAUUCGUCCAAAGUUUGGUAUUUGUUUCUACAAGGGUCAACUUUAAACAUAUAUAACUUUUUAAAUAUGUGGAAUUUUGCAGCUCACAACCCGCCAAAUGAUAUAUAAUUGAGUUGUCUUUCCAAUGAUACCAAUUUAUCCUUAAUACGAUACCCGAGAGAAAAGUUAUGCCCAUUUUCAUGAGAGACAGUAUGUGGUCGUGAUAGCCCCACAUUACGAGGGCUAUUCCACUUAAUUAGGGGUCACAUCAAGAGUGUUUAACUGGACUAGGGGUCACACCGCAGGGGCUAUUCCCCCAUUGUUUCAGCUUUUAAGGGUCAAGACGGUACUUUGGUCAUUUUCCCUAAACCCUAAAUGUCCCAAGCAUGAAUUAAAGCACCAAAAAGGGCAUUAUUUGCCCAUCUUAUUCGAAUCAACUCUUGUAAACACCAUCCUCUUUUCCCUAUGAACAAAGUUCAAGUUUCUCCUCUCAAGAACACAAUUAAUUCAAGGGUCAAUUUCAAUACUUCUUCAAGAAUUCAUCAACUAAGUUAUGUGGGGUUUAUGAACAAGGAUCCUGUCUCAUCCUUGUGACCAAAACUUACUUUAACGAUUAAAGUUAAUGCUUGGCAAUUAGGGUUCAUACCCAAUUAGCCAUAUUCUUCAAUUAUUAUAUUUCCAUGAGAUUAAAGACUUUAAGUUUAUCAAGAUUUACUCAUAUCCAUGUUUCCUCACUAAUUUUACAUUCAAGCCAUGUUAAUAGCUUUAUCAUGUAAAUUAUGGUUCUGUGUGAUUCAAACCCCAAACUUACAUGUCACGUUUGGUCAAUGCCAAGUCAAAUUGUUAAAAUCAUGUAUUUAGCCUUAUAAACAUGAUCCCUUUUUCAAGGUCACUUACUUCCAUAUUUAUAAGUCAUGAGAUUAUUAGUUAUUUAAAUACAUUAUAUUUUGGGUUCCCCAAAUUAGGACUUCCUACAAAUAUUUUAGAUGGUUUUAUCAUAUUUAAAGUGUUAUUUAGUGUUGGCAGGUUAUGAACAUCUGAACCUAUGUAUUUUUACAUGAUUUUAGAUUUUCAAGUAAUAAGUCAGUUAAACCAUGUCUUAUCAUUAUAGUCAGUUGUUAUGCUCAUGUCGAGCACUAUAAAUUUACAUGUUUAUGAUUACUUCAAACUCUGUAUGCACUGAUAUUUUCAAAACACCAUGACCCGAGCUUAUCUUAUCAGCUUUAGUGCAUGCACCAGUUCAUGAUUUAAGUGUCAAUUCAUUUGACAGUAGGAUUUAGCAUCGAGCAAACCUAGGUUUGGGGGCUCACCCGCCAGUUAGGAUUGAAUCCUUAGUAACAGUCCCUAAGUUCUAGAACUAUGUAGCUAGUGUAGGAUAAUGAUAUGCCAUCCACCAGUUUAGGACUGGCACUCUCUUAGGGGUCACCCUCUAGUUUAGGAAUAACUCCCUAGUACUUCAAGACAUUUGAUUAGUGGAUCCACACAGCCAGUGUUAGUGCUCGUGGAAUGGUAAUGACACCCUUCCAGUUGGUUAGACCCCGAUUAGCUUAGAUUGGGGUAUGUCAGUUAGAUGAUACCUCCUACAUUCUUAGUCAGCAUUCAGUGUAUCUCAGAUCAGGUUAGCUUGACCAAGUCUAUAGAUUUUUAGUUAUUUAGUAUAUAGAUUUUGAUCUUUCAAAUUAAAAAUUAUCUAAGAAAUAUGUUUAUGCUUGGUCUUGCAUUCUUAGUUUAACAUGUUCACAUUUCCAUGUUUAGUAUCCAUAAAAGAUCCACUGUUCAGCUUUACAUGAUUAGUAUUCAGAUAUCAGUUAGUUAAUUUUGAUAUAUCAAUUACUUAGUAUAUGGACAUUAGUUAUCCAUUUACUUAAAUUUUAGUAGUUUAGACAGUCAGGUAUCAGCCAUUCAGCUAAUCUGAUCCGCUUAUUCCAUGUUAUGUUUGGUUUGUAUUCUUAAUGAUUCAUGCUCAGUAUAUUUAUAUAUUCAAAUCCUCGAGUUAUGUCAGUUUCCAUCAUGUAGUUUCAGACCCAGUAUUCAUACAGUAUUUAUGUUUUUACCUCAUCCCAGCUUCAGUUAUAUGUAUUCUACAAAAGUAAAGUUUUAAGAAAUUAAGUGUAGUGAUUCAACAGCUUAUCAGAUUAUGUUUGUUACUUAUGUUUUAAGAUACUUCAGCUUUCAGUUUAUUUCAGCCUUUUGGUGAGUCUACUUGCACUUUGGAUGCAUGUUUUAAGAUUAUGUUCCUAAUCACUUUUACUUAUUGCAUUCACCCCCACUUAGUAUAUUCUUGAAGUACUGAUCCAAAUAUAUGUCUAUGUGCUACAUUAUCUCAUAAUGUAGGUACUAGUGUAGCCUACACAUCAUAAUUGGGUAGUUUGCAGCUUCCAGCCAGCAGGUGAUGAGUUCUACUAUUUUGGGGACUCCAGUCAGAUAUUGUUCAUGUACUUUAUUUUUAUUAUUCAUAUAUAUUUAGUAGUGGUAUUUUGAUGCAUGUCCCGAUUAUCUAUAGUUAGUAUAGUAAAGUUUUCAUAGAUAGUCAGUCGGAGUCAUGAAAUGCAAAUUCCAGUUCUCUCUUCAGUUUUAUCAGGUUGUAAACUUUAUCAAUAUUUUAUUUAUCCAGAUUAUGUCAUGAUUAUGUUUUCACAUAACAAAUUUAGCUAAUUUAUAUAUUUUAAAUUAAUUUCUCAAGUAUCAUGCAAGUUCAUGGGUUAGCUUGGGAUCACUUGUGGUUCUGAGAACCGUAUCACAAUAAUGGGAUAGCCUCGGGUCGUUACAUUAUCUCUAUAGGGUUCAUGUUGAUAUGUUUUCUGAUCAUAAGAGUCUUUAGUAUGUGUUUACUUAGGAGUUGAAUAUCAAGCAAAAAAGGUGGCUUGAGUUGUUGAAAGACUAUGAUAGAGUCUUCAUUACUAUCCAGGUAAGGCUAAUGUAGUUUCCAAUAUUCUUAGUAGAUAUUCUAUUGGAAGUUUAGCCCAUGUUCAUGAGGACAAGUGGGAAUUGGUGGAGGACAUUCACUAUUUGGAUAAUCUUGGAGUUCGUCUCACGGACUCAAAUGAUGUGGUGUAUUUGUGCAACAAGUAUCUCAGUCGUCUCUUGUUGUUGACAUAAAGGAAAAACAAAUGGUGGAUCCCGAUUUGAUGAAUAUCAAGUGUAAUGUGGGUCAACAAAAGAUAGUUGACUUUUUGAUUGGUGGUGAUGGUAUCGUGAGGUACCAAGGUAGACUAUGUGUUCCCGACAUUGAUAGAUUGAGAGAAAGGACUAUGGCCAAGGCUCAUGAAUCUCGGUAUGGUAUUCAUCCCGGUUCCAAAGAGAUGUAUUAUGAUCUUAGAAGGUGCUAUUGGUGGAAUAAUUUAAAAUGUGAGCUUGCUAGCUAUGCGGCUAAGUUUAUGGUGUGUCAACAAGUAAAAGUUGAGCACAUGAGGCCUGUUUUUUUGUACCAAACAAUUGUGUUACCAUAAUGGAAGUGGGGGCAAUUAAUAUGGAUUUCAUUUCCACUCUUCUUUGGUCUCGAAAUCAAUAUGUUUCUCUUUGGCUCAUUGUUGAUUGAAUGACCAAGUCUGCUCAUUUCUUGCCAGUAAGGACUACUUACUCGAUGAAGAAUUAUGCUAAAUUAUAUCUUGCAAAGAUCGUGAAAUUGCAUGACCCAAGAAAUUUUGGUUUCUAUCAUUUCUAUCACCUAAAAUGAUGGAAAUAAUGUAACGACCCAACAAAUUUCAGUUUCAAUCAUUUUGGGUCAUGGUCCUCCAUUCUCAUCUCACUUUUGGAAGUCUUUCAAAAAAGGUUUGGGAACUAAGGUGUGCCUUAGUACCACUUUUCACCCACAUUCGGAUGAAUAAAUAGAGAGGACCAUCUAAAUAUUAGAAGAUAUGUUGCGGGCUUGUGCUAUUGAUUAUGGUGGUAAUUGGUACGACUAUUUGCCUUUGAUUGGGUUUGCCUAUAAUAAUAGUUACCACUCUAGUAUUUGGCCCAUUUUAAGCAUUGUAUGGUAGGAGAUGUCGAUCUCCUAUUGGAUGGUAUGAAUUUGGUGAGGGUAAAUUACUUGGCCCCAAUUUAUUUCACCAAGCCUUAGAUAAGGUGAAGGUGAUUCGUGAUAGAUUGAAAACUGCUCAAAGUUGCCAAAAGUACUAUAUAGAUAUGAGGCGUAGGGACUUAGAGUUUAAUAUUGGUAAUUGUGUAUUUUUUAAGGUGUCUCGCAUGAAGGAAGUGAUGUGGUUUGGUUAAAAGAGGAAACUUAGUCCUUGAUAUGUUGGUCUCUGCUUGAUUGAGAAGAGGGUUGUCAAUGUUUCCUAUGAAUUGGAGUUUCCUUCUAGUAUGGACUCCAUUAACCCAGUUUUCCAUGUGUCCAUGUUGUGGAAAUGUGUGGUUCACCCUUCCUUGGUUAUUCCCAUGGAAGAUGUUGGUAUUUUGGACUCUUUGUCCUAUUAGGAUGUCCUAGUGAGGAUCUUGGAUCGACAAGUUCUCCGGUUGUGAAUGAAAGAGGUAGCUUUAGUGAAGGUUCUAUGGAGGAACCAAAAGACCGAGGAAGCUACUUGGGAAGCAAAGGAGAAUAUGAAGUCCAAGUAUCUACAUUUGUUUUUGACAUUUUGGAAACUUAUGAUUGAGGUAUGUAUUAAUCUUCUUACCUUGAGUUGUGUCUUGUUAGACCAUGGGUUCAAGUCCCUAAUGGUUUGAAAUUGUUUGUGUCCUUGUUGUGUAAUGGUUUAAGUCCCUAAUACUUUGAGUUGAUUCAUGUCUUAUGAUGGGUUAUAGUCCCUAGUCAUUAAAUUGAGCAAGUAUUCUUGAUAAGUCAAUGGGUUAAAGUCCCUAAGUUAUGAAAUGAGUAAGUGAUUUGAUAAGUAGUGGGUUUGAGUCCCAAGGUCAAUGAAAUAAAUGGUUGAUGGAUGAUGAUCAUGAUAUUUGUUGUAUCCAUAUUAUGUUCUUGCUUCGAACUUGUUAAAGGUUUGUUUUAUGUGUAAUAAUGUGCUAACGUGUUUUUACGGUUGUCUCACCCAUCAUUCGAGGACAAAUGAUUCCAGUGGGGCAGAAUUGAAACACCUAGGCUUUAAACCAUAAGAAAGUUUCUUCAUUUGAUGUCUCUAGCUAGGUAAGACUAAGGGUACCACUUGUACCCCUUGGAUACGAGUUGUAGACCCCCUCUCAUACCCUAGGAAGUAUGGUCAGGGUUACUCACUGUCCUAGGUACGAGUUAUCUCCCAAUCAUAACUAACGUACAAGUCAUACCUAACAUGGUCGUAUAGAGAGGUGUCUUAGACUUAAAGUGGACUGUUUUUGGUAUGAGUGGUGUGUAAGGUUUAGGGAAUGAGUCGUACCCCUUGGAUAUGACUCAAGGGUGUGUAGUCGUACCCUAACUAGUGUAGAUAACCUAGGAGAAGCCUAGUAAAGAGUUGGAGGCGUGGGGGGCCUCAAGGUGUUGUCUCCCCCCCCCCCCCGGAAAGCCACUAUUUAGUGCUUUAUGGUUAUUUCCCACCGCAAAACCCUUAAUUCCUUUCACUAUAUAAGACAUUGUAACCUCCUAAACCCUUAUUUACAAGACUUAAACAUUCCAAAACACUCUCAAAGCUUCUUGAAACAAGAUUGGAAGCUAGGGGUUGGAGGGUGUUCAUCUAGAAGCAACGAAGAGUUAAUAUCCCUUGGUGAAUCAAGUUAUCUAAGGCAUGUAACUAUUUCCCUUGUUUUAAACCAAGCACCAUGUGUUUUAGACAUAGAUUAAUACUUGUAAAUGAUUAUUUUGAAAUCAAAAUGUUAAGGGUUUGAUGCCUAGUGAUGAGUUAUGUGUGUUCUUGCUUAGACUUGUGUUUAUACAUGAUAUUGUUGAUAUUUUGUACAUAUGGGCAAUUUUUAUAUGUGGUUUAACAUGUAGGUCUUGAUUAACCCUAAUCUUGACUAUUUCUACCUUUAAAUUAGCCUUGGUAAGGGCAUGCACAAAAGGUGUUUGUGAAAAUGUCUUAGUGAAUUGUCUAGUCACAUGGUCGGGUUGUUUUGAACUAGGGAAAUGGCCCAAUAAGUAUGAUUGAUAAAUUAUAUUGUAAAGGUAUUAUGAGCCAUGUAUUGUGUAAUUGACGACCUUGUUGGUUUGACAGCUAAUAAGAGGUUAAAGUCCUUAGACAUGAAAUUGAAAUUGAAUUGGUCACAUUUUAUUCAUGAAAUGGCUUGGAUUGAUAUUAGUCUGGAUAUGGCAAAAUCAUUCUAUUAGAUUGAAUAAGUAAAUUCGAUCUAAUAAGUACCUUGUGUUAGAAUUGAGAAAUUUUAUGGCUUGGAUCUUUAGUAUUCUCUUAUUUAUUACCUGUGUCUACAAUUUAGGCAGAAUACCCUCACCCAUUCUUACUAAGAAACUGAAAGAAGCUAAGAAACUGAAAGAGGCCUCAAAAACAGAAGAAAGGGAGGAAAGUGAGGAAGAAAGAGAUGUAGAAACUGCUUCCGAAAUGAAGGGGACUAAACAGGAACAAGAGGGAUCCACUGAAGAAGAUCCUUAUCCUUCUCCUUCCCCUUUUUCGGAAGAAGGGUCGGAUCCGGACAAAAUCGAUGAAACGGAAGAAAUUCGAGUGAAUGGAAAGGACAAAAUAAAGGAUAAAUUCCACUCUUACCUUACAGAGAGAGGCUAUAAAAAUAUUAAUACUAGUAAUUGUGAAAUUUAUGAUAAAAAAGAUUCUUAUCUGAAUUUGAUUCAAAAAUCAAAAAGUCACGGGUAAUCCAAAAAAUUUUAAAUUGCAAUUUCUUGAUAACGAAAAUGAAAAUCAAGAACUCUUCGGGUUUCAAAAACCUCUUUUGAGUAUUCUUUUUGAUUAUAAUCGGUGGAAUCGACCAUUUCGCUACAUAAAGAAUAAUCGAUUUGACCAAGCCGUAAAAACUGAAAUGUCACAAUAUUUUUUUGACACAUGUAAAAGUGAUGGAAAACAAAGAAUAUCUUUUACAUACCCGCCAAGUUUAUCAACUUUUUUGAAAAUGAUAAAAAGAAAGAUACCCCUAUUGUCACUCCAAAAAACGCUCCCUCAUGAACUGGACAAUCAGUGGGUUUCUACCAACAAAGAAAAAAGUAAUAAUCUGAAUAAGGAAUUUUUAAAUCGACUUGAAGUUCUAGACAAGGAAUCUCUUUCUCUGGAUAUACUUGAAACAAGGACUAGAUUGUGUAAUGAUGAUACUAAAAAAGAAUACAUGCCUAAAAUGUACGAUCCUUUGUUAAAUGGACCAUAUCGAGGAACAAUCAAAAAAGGGGUUUCACCUUCAAUCAUAAACAAUAAUUCGCUAGAAAAUUUGAAAGAGAGAGUUAGACUAAAUAGGAUUCAUACUAUCUUUCUUCCGAAUACUGAUUACCAAGAAUUUGAACAAAAAGUGGAUACGAUUGAUAAAAAACCAUUAUCAACAGAAAUUGACGAGUUCUUAACUUUAAUCAAUGAAUUUGGUAAGGAACCAAAAUCGAGUUUAAAUUUGAAAGACCUUUCUUUAUUUUCAGACCAAGAACAGGUAAGAACGAAUUCAGAAAAAGGAACUAAAUUUUUAAAAUUUGUAUUCAACGCAAUUGAUCCUAAUGAGACAAAAUCUGGAAACAAAUCGAUUGGAAUAAACGAAAUCAGUAAAAAAAAACCUCGCUGGUCAUGUAAAUUAAUCACCGAAUUGGACCAACAAUUGGGUAAAUUUGAAGAUGGCCUAUCAGUAGAUUAUCAAAUUCGUUUAAGAAAAUUCAAACGUGUAGUUAUUUUUACUGCCAACAACGAGAAGAAGGAUCCUGAUGAGACCAACGAGGAAGUGCCUUUAAUAAUCUAUUCGCAACAAUCCGAUUUUCGGCGAGGUAUAAUUACAGGCUCUAUGCGGGCUCAAAGGCGAAAAACAGUUAUUUGGAAACUAUUUCAAGCAAAUGCGCAUUCCCCCCUUUUUAUCGACAGAAUAACCCCCCCCCGUCUUUUUUCUUUUGAUAUCUCUGGACUGAUUAAACCAAUUUUUCGAAAUUGGACAGGUAAAGAGGGAGAAUUCAAGAUUCUAGAGUCUAAAGAAGAACAAACAAAAAGAGAAGAGAAAAAAGAAAAGGACAAAAAAAAGGAGAACACCAGAAAGGAAAAAGCACGGCUAGCGGUAGCAGAAGCCUGGGAUAACAUUCUUUGUGCGCAAAUAAUAAGAGGUUACAUGUUAAUAACUCAAUCAAUUCUUCGAAAAUAUGUUGUAUUACCUUCAUUGAUAAUAGCCAAAAAUCUCGGGCGUAUGUUAUUCUUGCAACUUCCUGAAUGGUCUGAGGAUUUGCAGGAAUGGAAUAGAGAAAUGCAUAUUAAAUGUACUUAUAAUGGUGUUCAAUUAUCAGAAACAGAAUUUCCACAAAAUUGGUUGAGCGAUGGGAUUCAGAUCAAAAUUUUAUUUCCUUUUUGUCUGAAACCUUGGCAUAUAUCUAAACUGCACCCCUCCCGCGUAGAGCUGAUGAAAAAGAAAAAACAAAAAGAUGAUUUUUGUUUUUUAACAGUUUUGGGAAUGGAAGCUGAACUUCCCUUUGGUUCUCCCCGAAAGCGCCCUUCCUUUUUUGAGCCCAUUUUUAAGGAACUCGAAAAAAAAAUUGGAAAAUUUAAAAAGAAAUAUUUUAUAACUUUUAUAACUAUAACUCGAAAAGUUUUAAAAGGAAAAACAAAAUUAUUUCGAAGAGUUUCAAAAGAAACCAAAAAAUGGCUUAUAAAAAAUAUUCUAUUUCUAAAAAAAAUAAAAAAAGAACUUUCAAACAUAAAUCCAAUUGUAUUAUUUAGAUUCAAAGAAAUAUCUGAAUCGAAUGAAACGAAAAAAGAAAAAGAUUAUCUAAUUAGUAAUCAAAUAAUUAACGAAUCAUUUAGUCAAAUUGAAUCUGGAAAUUGGCCAAAUUCUUCACUGAUAGAAACCAAAAUGAAGGAUUUGACUGAUAGAACAAGUACAAUAAAAAAUCAAAUAGAAAGAAUUACAAAAGAGAAAAAGAAAGUAACUCCAGAAAUAGACAUUAGUCCUAAAUCGCCAAAAAAUAUUUUCCAAAUAUUAAAAAAAAGAAAUACUCGAUUAAUAUGUCAAUUCCAUUAUUUUAGAAAAUUAUUCAUUCAAAGAUUAUACAUCGAUCUAUUUUUAUCUAUCAUUAAUAUUACAAGAAUUAAUACACAACUCCGUCUUAAAUCAACAAAGAAAUUGAUUGAGAAAUACAUUUCCAAUAAUGAAAUAAAUCAAGAAAAAAUUAAUAAUAAAAACAAAAUUAACUUUAUCUUUAUUUCGACUAUAAAAAAGUCACUUUAUAAUAUUUAUAAUAUUAGUAAGAAAAAUUCACAUAGUUUUUUUGAUUUAUCCUACUUGUCACAAGCAUAUGUAUUUUACAAAUUAUCACAAACCCAAGUUAUUAAUUUGUCUAAAUUUAAAUCUGUUCUUCAAUAUAACAGAACGUCUUUUUUCCUUAAGACUAAAAUAAAGGACUAUUUUAGAACACUAGGAAUAUUUCAUUCUGAAUUAAAACAUAAAAAACCUCAGAGUUAUAGAAUCAAUCAAUGGAAAAACUGGUUAAGACGGCAUUAUCAAUACGAUUUAUCUAAGAUUAGAUGGUCUAGAUUAAUGCCAAAAAAAUGGAGAACUGGGGUUAAUCAAAGUUGUAUGGCUCAAAAUAAAAAUAGAAACUUAAACAAAUGGAAUUCAUAUGAAAAAGACCAAUUAAUUCAUUACAAAAAAGAAAAUGAUUCUGAACUCUAUUCAUUAUCAAACCAAAAAGAUAAUUUUAAAAAAUGUUAUAGAUAUGAUCUUUUAUCAUAUAAAUCGAUUAAUUAUGAAAAUAAAAGUUACUCAUUUAUUUCUAGAUUACCCUUUCAAGUAAAUAAGAACUUCGAAAUUUCUUAUAAUUCCAACACGCCCAAACACAACCCUUUUGAUAUGCCCGACAAUCUUCAUAUCAAUAAUUAUCUAAUAAAAGGCAAUCUUCUACAUCUACAUAUAGAAAGAAAUCUCGAUAGAAAAUAUAGAAAAUAUUUUGAUUGGAAAAUUCUCCAUUUUUCUGUUAGACAAAAAGGAGAUAUUGAGGCCUGGGUUAAGAUCGAUACCAACAGUAAUCGAAAUACUAAAAUUGGUAUUAAUAAUUAUGAAAUAAUUAAUAAAAAAGGACUUUUUUAUCUUACAACUCAUCAAAAUCCAGAAAAAACUAAAAAAAAUUCGAAAAAAGACUUUUUUGAUUGGAUGGGAAUGAAUGAAAAAAUAUUUAAUCGUCCCAUAUUGGAUAUGGAAUUUUGGUUCUUCCCAGAAUUUGUACUACUUUAUAAUGUAUAUAAAAUAAAACCGUGGAUUAUACCAAGCAAAUUACUUCUUUUAAAUUUGAAUACAAAUGAAAAUGUUAGUAAAAAUCAAAAUAUCAAUAAAAACAACAAAAAAAACUUUUUUCUACCAUCAAAUAAAAAAAUAAAGAAUCGAAUUCAAGAAGCAAAAGAACCCGCAAGUCAAGGAAAAAGAGAGCGUGGAUCAGAUAUAGAAAACAAAGGAAAUCUGGGCCCUGUUUUCUCAAAACAUCAAAACGAUCUUGAAAAAGAUUACGCGGAAUCAAACACAAAGAAGGGUAAAAAUAAAAAACAAUACAAAAGCAACACGGAAGCAGAACUAGAUUUGUUCUUGAAACGUUAUUUGCUUUUUCAAUUGAGAUGGAACGAUACUUUGAAUCAAAGAAUAAUCGAAAAUGUAAAGGUAUAUUGUCUCCUGCUUCGACUGAUAAACCCAAACAAAAUUGCUAUAUCGUCAAUUCAAAGGAGAGAAAUGAGUUUGGAUAUAAUGCUGAUUCAGGCGAAUUUACCUCUUACAGAAUUGAUGAAGAAGGGGUUAUUGAUUAUCGAACCUAUUCGAUUGUCUGUAAAAAAUAAUGGACAAUUUAUUAUGUAUCAAACCGUAGGUAUUUCAUUGGUUCAUAAAAGUAAACACCAAACUAAUCAAAGAUACCGAGACCAAAGAUAUGUUGAUAAAAAUCAUUUUGAUUUGCUUGUUCCUGAAAAUAUUUUAUGGUCUAGACGUCGUAGAGAAUUGAGAAUUCGAAGUUUUUUUAAUUCUUUGAAUUGGAAUGGCGUCGAUAGAAAUUCAGUAUUUUCCAAUGAAACUAAUGUAAAAAACUGGAGUAAAUUUUUGGAUGAAAGGAAACCUCUUUAUAAAGAUAAAAAUGAAUUAAUUAAAUUAAAGUUCUUUCUUUGGCCUAAUUAUCGAUUAGAAGAUUUAGCUUGUAUGAAUCGUUAUUGGUUUGAUACCAACAAUGGUAGCCGUUUCAGUAUCUUAAGGAUACAUAUGUAUCCACGAUUGAAAAUUAAUUGAUAUUACUAUAUACCCUGUCUCGUAUAGAGUAUCUGAAAGAAAACAAAUGCACACAUGCCUUGUCUUACAUCUCAUUCGAAUCUAAUUCGAGUAGACGAUACUAAAUCAAUAAGGUAUCGAUUAGAUCUAGAAAU
This 70999-nucleotide long non-coding RNA is filed under the name Capsicum annuum. RNAcentral's name for it is "long non-coding RNA (CANN_LNC002017)". Lineage: Eukaryota; Viridiplantae; Streptophyta; Magnoliopsida; Solanales; Solanaceae. The record is from RNAcentral.